UCGGCACAAUCUGACGCCAAAAAGGCGAGACGGGUCCACCGUCAACUCUGACGGCACCCAACAGUCCGGAACAACCUGAACGACCCUGUAAAAAUCCACUCGGCAUACCAGCAUGAGCGUAAAUGUAUUCUAAACUACCUGGAGUACUCGUCUUGAGGAUACUGCGACAGUACAAUUUUAUAACGGCUCCUAGAGCUAAAUCAGGCAGUUUAAACAGGUGACAGGUCCAAAUCGCAGGUUUUCUCCUAAUUCAAUUUCCAAGUCCAACAUGUAUAACCUACUUAAUUUAUUACCACAUGCUCCAAACUCAGAUUUGCAAUCUAUCAAAUAAUCCAUGAAUUCGAGCUAGAAUAGAUUAUCAAAAAUCGAGAUCUAUACAUGUCGACGAUUAUGAACUUAGGAGUCAAAACCGAUGUAACCCACCUCGCACGCUAAUCCUCGGCAGCACGGAACUCUCACGGCGGCGAAACAACCUGCUGGAUCGACCAAAAACACCCAAGUCUCGAAAUCGAGCUAACUCCAAACUAAAAACACCAAAAAUCCUCAAUUCAGUCCAAAAUCCACAGCAGCAGAGAAGAGAAGGAUUUUGACCAAGAUAACUUUUACUAAAAUUCGCAAGUGAGGGCUUCGUGGAUUCCUCUCGAAGUCCCGAAUCCAACGAAUCAAGUCUCGUCGCAAUCCGAUGCUCCUACGUCGAGAACAAGCUGAAAUACUAACAGUCGACGACAAGAUCCUGCGAAUCAGCACUUAAGCUCGAAUUAAUGAUACCCGAGGUAUGCGGAGCAAUUCCACAGAACACUCACCUCAAUAGAUCCUCAAGAGUCGGCGCAAUGUCGAGGAUGACGGAAAUCCACGCUCGCCCGAGCUCCUCACAGCACCAAGACGACACAACGUGCGCCCGAACGGCUCCGCGGCACCACGUCGGCGACGAAACUCCACCCGAGCUCCACCCUAGCCUACGAUCGGUUUGAGAGUGAGAGAGAGGAAGUAGCAGCAGAGGAACUCCCUCUCUCUGUCCUCACAAGGCUAAAUAGAGAGAGGGAGGACUGGUGAUACAAACGAGGGAGAGAAAAGACCAAAACACCCUCUCACCUACCCUGGUGUACCGGUACAGGAGGCCAACCCGAGAGCAGUACGCGCUCAACCAGUAUAGUGUACCGGUACACCUCGCUGGCUGUACCGAUACAGCAAGCAGGAAAAUCUGCUAUUUCGCAGAUUUCUUCGCUGAAGGCUGCCCUCGCGUCGCACGAAGUCCGUUUUGCGUCUAUUUGACGCCAACGCGACUCGGACUUGUCCCGACACUCUCUAGAGCUGUCGACAAACCUCCAUAGUCAAACACCAGGGAUCUCACAGUGAGUGACUAGCCAAGAAGGCUCAGCGACUCAACAAAUGCUCACGAGGCACCGUCGGAAGAAUUCCAAACUAAAAUCGCAUUCCGUCGGCAGAUUUUGUCGACAAACGCACCGAAAAUGCAUUUCCGAUCUCCACAAGGGCUUGGGCCUUGGACAAUCCGUCCAGAGGUUACCCACAACCCACACAUCCUGUCAAUAGCAGCCACAACGAACCAAGAUGCAUAAAAGCCCUCCCGAUCGUGUUAUUUCAUGCGAUUUCCGGGCUUUUAUGGUCCGACCGUUCAAUCCGAUAACCUUUCAGUUCAGCUGAGACACCUGCUGAUAGGUCUCGGCGUGCCGGAGGCCGUGCUCACCUUUCGGAGCACUGCCGGCCACUAAGGCGGGCGCACGAGCGAUGCGAAGAUCUGUGAAACAGCGCGCACAGUGCCAAAAUCGAGUCUAAUACACCAACCAGGCACCUUUAACCCUGACGGAGGUGAGCACGAUGUUCAGCACGAAUCCUAGAUCAUCGUGCUCACUUCCCGGGGUGUCCGGGAGUCAUCGGAUCACCAGAAAGGUGACCGGAACCCUCAAACAGUGCGCUACAGACUAAUUUACUGCUUACCAGACCCGAGGGAGCUAGGGUUGGUCGUCGGCGGCCGGACGACGGGCGCUCCGGUCGGGGAAUGGUGCGGCCGGUCGGAGAGGUCCGGGGCAGGCGCUGGCCGGCGGCGAGAGGCGGCUGGAGGCGCGGCGGCUGCGAUCCAAUCCGUCAAGCUACUCUCGGGUUCAAGGGCGCCAGCGGCAAGGCGACGGCCGGAGGAGCUCGGGGCGACGGCGAUUCAUCGUCGGAGGCCGAGGGAGUGGUGGUGCGCCCCACUGUGGGCGGCGGCGACGCACGGUNUGGUGGGGUCUGGGGCACCCGCUGGCCGGCGGCGGAAGGUGGCCGGUGGCACGGCGGCGGAGAUCAAGUCCGUCAAGUUCCUCUCGGGUUCAAGGGCGCCGGCGGUGAAGCGGCGGCCGGAGGAGCCCGGGGCGGCGAUGGUUCGUCGCCGGAGGUCGAGGAGGAGGUUGAGCUCGCGACGAUGGACGGCGGCGUCGUGCGGUGGCCGAGGUGGCUCGGCCUCAGCCCGCACAAAUUCUGGGCGGCCGCAGAGUAGAAGAGCGGCGGCCAGCGGCGCACGGGGACGGUGGGGAGGCGCGCGGGAGGUAGCCGGAGGUCGCCGGAGGCUGAGGGAUGACAGCGCGGCCGAUCUGGAGUGGCGGCGGCGCGCGGGCCUCGAGCCCACCCGUGCUCGGUCUGGGCUGACUGAGGGUGCCCGCAGGGAGCAGGGGCGGCGCCGGCGGCCCACGGGGAUGGCCGGGGCCGGCUGGGGAGAUGCCGGAGAUAGGUCUCGGCCAGGGGACGAAAGAUCUCGGGGUUUUUACGCUUCCCCGAGGUCAACACCGAGAAGAAGGCAAGGUGGAAGGAGGGCGUGCACACAGGCAAGGUAGAGAGGUUCCGCGACGGCUAGGGUAGCUGGGUGGACUUGGGUAGCAAAAGGGUCAAGAAAACCCUAGCUGCCAUAUUUAUACUAAAUGUUCUAUUUGCCGAAAACCCCUCUAAAGCAUAAUAUUUACAGUCCAGCCCCUGCCAAUGUGUGUAACUUGCGCGCACGUACCCCAACGUUCGAAAUCACGCGAAACGACGCAUAAAAUAUUGGACAUUUUCGCGAUUUAACCAUUUUGCCCAUUUGACCUCUCAGCGAACAUCUCGCUUUUUCCAAAGAUCCGUCGGUCGGAUUUCCGAUUGGAUCACGCCAGCGCAUUCAGCAUGACCGGGGCAUCGAAUCUAGUAUUUCGUUUCAUCUGAUUUGAUCUCCGGUUCACGACGAAACCCACCCUCAAUGAGUCCACCAAAUAGCCACAUAUUUAUAUAUGUAAAACCGAUCAAACCCCCUUUUCUUGACAACCGUGCAUCAGAACCCAAUUCCGUCAGUGCCAUUGGGUCCAGAAUAGUCGAGCCGUUCGAAACGAGCUAUUGGAUCGCUAUGAACGGAGUCCGAUACAUGCCGAAAGCCAACUCUACUCCGUAGCUUCUCCGAAAAAUCGGAGUUACUAUUCACUUAAGUGAAAAUUAAAGAUCGCGUAACUUCUCCGUUCUAGCUCAUUUUCUCCUAAAACUUGACAAGUGCUUAUGUAAUUAAAUUACACACAUAAACAUCGUCAACGGAGAGUUUAGUUGUAUUGUCAAAAUCUUAGUCCUUACACGAAUGUUGUCCGAUUUCUCGUUCAUAGCCCCACCAACGACGAGCUGCAAUCAAUAGCCAAUAGAUUUUGUGGAGAAAAUUGGAAAAAGAUUAUUUUUUCUAAAUUUUUGGAGAUUAUGGCUCAUCUUAUGAAGGUAUGACUUUUUUUUCUAAGAGAUAGGUAGCAUACUACCCGCUUUGUUUAUUUCAUUUAGAAAUAAACUUAGCUAGAAAUGUGAAUCAAUUAGGAUUCGAACUUGAGACCUCAGGUACCAAUCACCAAGCUCUUUGCCACUUGUGCUAGGGACGGUCGGUUAUGAAGGUAUGAUUUUCAUGCUGGAAAUCCAUUUUCUUUCUUUUUCUUCUUCUCCUUCUUCUUAUAAUUAUUUGUUCUUCUUCUUCUUCUUCUUCUUCUUCUUCUUCUUCGUUUCCUACUGUCUGCCGCGAACGAACCGGCCCUGCCGUAGGUUGUUUCUGAAGCGAGUGGUCAUUCAUAGUAGAGAUAAAAUUUAUUUAUAUUUUAUUUUGAAAUCAGGAUUAUAGGUUCAUGGCUUCCAACAAACUCAAAAAUCUGCUGUUAAUUACCCCACACUUUCGGUGUUAAGGAACCCUCGAUUAAGAGACCAAAUAUAAAUGCUGAUAAUAAAAGAGACAAAACAGGCAAAUAAAAUUUUAUUGAUAUGAUUUGCCGUGUACAUGGCUUAAGCAGGGGCAUACCCCCACUGUACAUGAAUUUAGCGACUAGAAGGUCGAUUGAAGUUUUGAUGCUCAGUUUAAUGACAUGACGGUCGGUUUAAGUUUGGUGCUCAGUUUAAUGACAUGGCGGUCGAGUUCACCUUGGUUGUAUAUUCCAAGGUGGAGAUGUGACCAAACCCCAAGUAUAUGUAUUGAGGUAGAUUGGAUUUGAUAUUAUCCGAAAAUAGAGAAUGGCUAAUUCCUGAGUGUAUGGGUCAGGAUUAACCGAGUUUAAUAUAUUUUCACUCUAGUUAUAUGUGCUAGAGUGAAGAUCUAACUAAGCCCUAAGGUAUUGCGUUAGGGUUCAUCGGAUUUGAUUCGUAUGAGCUCCAAGUAUAUGUAUUAGAGCUCGAUCGGGUAUGGAUUUCACUCUAGAUAUAUGUGCUAGAGCAAAAGGCUGACUAGACCCGAAGUAUAUGGGUUAGGACUAGUCGAGCAUGGUUUGACUUCCAUUCUAGGUAUAUGUGCUAGAGCAAAAGACUGACUAGACCCUAAGUAUAUGUGUUAGGGUUAGUUGAGCAUGGUUUGACUUUCACUCUAGGUAUAUGUGCUAGAGCAAAAGGCUGACUAGACCCUAAGUAUAUGGGCUAGGGUUAGUCGACCAUGGUUUGACUUCCACUCUAGGUAUAUGUGCUAGAGCAAAAAACUGACUAGACCCUAAGUAUAUGGGUUAGGGUUAGUCGGAUGAACUCUAAGUAUAUGUGUCAGAGUUUGAAAAAACUUGAUAUCAUUUGACUGAAUUCUAAGUAUAUGGCUUAGAAUUGUGUCGAUUUGGAGAUGUUUUGCCUUAGUUAUAUGUGCUAAGGCGAUUGACUUAGCCCUAAGUAUAUAUAUUAGAGGUAGUCGAUAUUUAAUUUUCACUCUAGGUAUAUGAACCAGAGUAGAAAAGGUUCAUGAUGAACUUGGAUUUAGUUUAAUGACUUUACGGUCGUUUGAUUUUGGGUUUAGUUUAACGACUUUACGGUCGUUUGAAUUUGGGUUUAGUUUAACGAUGUUUCGGUCGUUUGUAUUUGGGUUUAGUUUAAUGACGUUUCGAUCGUUUGAAUUUGAAAUUAGUUUAACGACUUUACGGUCGUAUGAAUUUAGAUUUAGUUUAACGACUUUACGGUCGUUUGAAUUUGGGUUUAGUUUAACGACUUUUCGGUCGUUUGAAUUUGGGUUUAGUUUAACGACGUUUCGGUCGUUUGAAUUUGGGUUUAGUUUCACGACUUUCGGUCGUUUGAAUUUGGGUUUAGUUUCACGACUUUUCGGUCGUUUGAAUUUGGGUUUAGUUUCACGACUUUUCGGUCGUUUGAAUUUGGAUUUAAUUUAACGACGUUUCGAUCGUUUGAAUUUGGGUUUAGUUUAACGACGUUUCGGUCGUCGUUUGAAUUUGGGUUUAGUUUAACGACUUUUCGGUCGUUUGGAUUUGGGUUUAGUUUAGCGACUUUUCGGUCGUCGUUUGAAUUUGGGUUUAGUUUAACGACUUUUCGAUCGUUUGGAUNAAGUAUUUGGUAUUUAGUUCAAGCACUUGGUUUGUGAUGCUUGGUAUGGGUUCAAGUACUUGGUAUUUGGUUCAAGUACUUAGUAUUUGGUUCAAGUACUUGGUACUUGGUUCGAUUCAAAGGUAUAGGUUCAAGUACUUGGUAUUUGGUUUAGGGUGUAUAGAUUGGAGUACUUGGUACUUAGUUCAAGUACUUGGUACUUGGUUCAGGUACUUGGUAUAGGUUCAAGUACUUGGUUUAGGGUGUAUGGAUUAGAGUACUUGGUGGUGGGUUCAAGUAUUUGGUACUCGGUUCAGAUAUUUGGUUUAAGUAUGUGGGUUGUUUAGUUUAGCGACUUUGCGGUCGUAGGUUUUGGGUUUAGUUUAACGACUUUACGGUCGACUGAAAUUGAGAUGUUCAUGAAACUGAUUCAUGAAAUUAAUUCAUGUUAGGAGCCCAUUUGUAAAGUCCAUUGAAUUAAUUGAUAAAAUUAAUUCAUGAUAGGGGCCAUUUAGAGAACCCAUUGAAAAAAAUUAAUUUAUGAUAAUGAGCCAUUGGGAAGGCCAAUUAGUUUAUGAAAUUAAUUUAUGACAAGGAGGGCCCAUAAAAUUAAUUCAUAGAAUUAAUUUAUGAUAACGAGUCCAGUUGAAAAGCCCAAGAAAUUAAUUCAUACAAAGGGGACCGUUUGGCAACCCAUUAAUUUAUGGAAUUAAUUCAUAAUAAAGGGGGCCCAUUUAGAAAGCCCAAGAACUCGGUUUGGGUUAGAGGUAUUUGGAUGACAUAGAUUUAGUAGAUUUGGUUGGGUUUUAUUUGUGGACUUUGAAUUUUGGGUCUCAUUUGUAGACUUCGGGUUUUGGAAUUUUAUUUGUGGACUUUGAAAUUUUUGGGAUUUUAUUUGUGGACUUUUGGAUUUUUGGGAUUUUAUUUGUGGACUUUGGGAUUUUGGGGAUUUUAUUUGUGGACUUUGGGUUAAGAAAUUCAUUCACAUGAAUUUUUUUAUUGGUUUUGGACCCAAAUCUGCAUGUGGGUUGAGCUAGACUGCGGGCUUUGCAUGUUCUGGGCCCGAAUCCGUAUGUGGGCUAGAUUUUUAUUGAUUUUGCAUUCAAAAUUUGCACGUGGGCUGGAUUUCGGGCACUACAUGUUUUGGGCUUUGGACCCGAAUUUGCAUGUGGACUGAAAUCAGUCUUGCACUUUACAUGGUCUGGGCCUUGGGCUCGAAUUUGUAUGUGGGCUCUGCAUUAUUUUUUUUUUUGACAGCUUAUGAAGUUGAGCCCGUAAUGGAUUGAACCAUUUUCAAAAUAAAGCAAGUCCAAUUCUUCAAAUUCUUUUCUUUUCUUUUUUUCUUUCUUUUAAGAUUGCUUGUNAAUAACUUUGCAAUUCAAGUAGUUUGAUAAGUUAAUAAUAAAUUUGUCAUUUCAAAUAUAAAGUAUAUAAUAUUAUAAAUCUAGAUAAGUUAGUGGCAAACCCAUCUGAACCUAAUUUUGUUCAGAUGGCAAGCGGGAAAGGGCUUAGUAAUUUUGUUAAAAUUCAGAAGAGUCCUAAACUUAAGUUUCUAAUUUUUUUUAAAAAACACAAAGAUGAAGAUGAUAGUUAAUCGGUGGAGAGAGAGAGCGAGAGAGAGAGAGAGAGAGAGAGAGAGAGUUGGGUUUGAGUUGCAACCCAACUCUCUCUCUCUCUCUCUGUACGACACUGAGAAACACAGAGAGAGGGAGGGUUGCUCUCCUCUUUUUCUUUCUUUUUUUUUUUUUUGCUGUUUCUUUUUUUUUUUAUAUUCAUUGUUUUUGUCCAAAUAAACGAAAUUGAUCACGUCGAGCCAUACAAUUGAAUCGAACAAAGAUGGCGAAUCGAAAAGAACCUGACCAUUUUUUAUUAUCAUUUAUUUUAUCACGUUUUGUUCAAGUACGCGGAGUUUAAUCGUGUCGAGCCUAUCACGAAGAUGGCCGCUCGAUUAACCAUUUUGAUCAUAUCGAGCCUAUCACGAAGAUGGCUACACGGUUUACGCUUUCGACCAUGUCGAGCUUAUCGCGAAGAUGGCCACACAGUUUUCGUAACAAAAUAAAUGAUGCUCGAUCACCUAUUUUGACCAUGUCGAGCCUAUCACGAAGAUGGCCGCACGGUUUACGUAAUAAAAUAUCCGGUUCGAUCAAUCAUUUUGACCAUGUCAAGCCUAUUACGAAGAUGGCCGCACAGUUUGGAGAUUAGCGGUGCAUACGCAAGGCGGAAGUGACGAUUUAAUAUCAAAUUUGGUCGGUUCGAAACCUAUCACGAAGAUGGUCGGGUUGAUCAAAUUGACAAAAAAACGCACUUACGCUAUGCGUAUGCAUGCAUUUCUCCUAUUGUUGUAGAAGUCGUCGUGAUUGUCGUUAGGGAAGUCGCCAAGAUCGCCGCCGCCGUUGUCGUUGUCGUCGUCAUCGUCGUCAGAAUCGUCGUAACCGUCGUCAUCGUGAUCGUGCUUCAACACUUUUCUCCUUUUUUUUUUUUUUUUUUUUUUUUUUUUUUUUUUUUUUUUUUUUUUUUUUUUUUUUUUUUUUUUUUUUUUUUUUUUUUUUUUUUUUUUUUUUUUUUUUUUUUUUUUUUUUUUUUUUUUUUUUUUUUUUUUUUUUUUUUUUUUUUUUUUUUUUUUUUUUUUUUUUUUUUUUUUUUUUUUUUUUUUUUUUUUUUUUUUUUUUUUUUUUUUUUUUUUUUUUUUUUUUUUUUUUUUUUUUUUUUUUUUUUUUUUUUUUUUUUUUUUUUUUUUUUUUUUUUUUUUUUUUUUUUUUUUUUUUUUUUUUUUUUUUUUUUUUUUUUUUUUUUUUUUUUUUUUUUUUUUUUUUUUUUUUUUUUUUUUUUUUUUUUUUUUUUUUUUUUUUUUUUUUUUUUUUUUUUUUUUUUUUUUUUUUUUUUUUUUUUUUUUUUUUUUUUUUUUUUUUUUUUUUUUUUUUUUUUUUUUUUUUUUUUUUUUUUUUUUUUUUUUUUUUUUUUUUUUUUUUUUUUUUUUUUUUUUUUUUUUUUUUUUUUUUUGCUACCAACGCGUGGAGGGAGGAGAGGGGUGAAAUCCCCCUGUCCACUAGUAGGAAGGAAUCAACAAAAGGAAAAAAAAAAAUUGUUUCCUUCUUCUUUUUUAAUACUUUUUUUUUGAAGAAUCCAAAUAAGCUAGGAUUAUAUUGGAUUCUUUCUUUUCUUUUUUUUGAAUCUUUCCUUUCUCUAUUUCCUUCCUUCUAUAUUCCCAAAUUGAAUUUCAAAUUUCAAAAUUUUUUUACCCCAACACCUGCUACUUUAGAUAACUAAAACUCAUGAAGAACUAUUCACAGGGGAUUCAAUACUCUAUUUGCAACGCAACAAAAAGGACAAUAAAAUAUAUUUCAAAGUUAAGACUCUUGAUAACCAUAAUGAAGAUAUUCAUCGUAAAAAGAAAUAAGAGCCUAUUUUAUCAUCUCCCUCUGAUACCCUCCUCCAGGUAGCUGCAUCAUCCCCCAUCACUAUUUUCCUUUUACCCUCACAUUCUUGAUCAUUCUUUUGAGAUAAACCAAAAUUUUCUGUUGAAUUAAUUAAUUUAGAUUUCGUGACUCAUCGGCGACAAAUACGGUGAAGUAUAUGACGAACGACAAGCAUGAUGAACUUAAAAAGGCCUUUGCAUUCUUCGACCUCGAUACGGAUGGUGCAAUACAUGCACCGUUCAAUCUACCUCCUAAAACAUUUCUUCAAUUCUGUUUAAAACCUCUUAAUGUUCUAUGUAGGAUUUAUGUUUAAAUUUGUUUAAACAUUUUAUUUGUUCUAUGUAGGAUUAAUCAAUGAUAAACAACUAGCGAAUGUUGUCCGAUUUAUCAGGCGUGACCCUACCAACGACGAGCUACAAUCAUUAGCUAAUAGAAUUAGUGGAGAAAAAUUGAAAAAAGUUUAGUUUUUCUAAAUUUUUGGAAAUUAUGCUUAUCUUAUGAAGGUAUGGUUUUGAUUGCUGGAAAACCAUUUUCUUUCCUUGUCUUCUUCUCCUCCUUCUUCUUCUUCACCUCCCUCUUCUUCUUUUUAUUAUUGUUCUUAUUCUUAUUUUUCUUCUUCUUCUUCUUCUUUUUCUUCUUCUCUUUCUUCUUCUUCUUCUUCUUAUUUGUUCUAUGUAGGAUAAAUCAAUGAUAAACAACAUGCGAAUGUUGUCCAAUUUCUCAGACAUAGCCCUACCAACGAUGAGCUGCAAUCAUUAGCUAAUAGAAUUUGUGGAGAAAAUUGGAAAAUGAUUAGUUUUUCAAAAUUUUUGAAAAGUAUUGCUCAUCUUAUGAAGGUAUGGUAUUGAUUGCUGGAAAUCCAUUUUCUUUCUUUUUCUCCUCCUCCUCAUUAUUAUUGUUUUGAUUCUGCUUCUUCUUUAUUUCCUACUACUUCAGAUAACUGACACUCAUGAGGAGCUCUUCAAGGGGGAUUCAAUACUCUGCUUGCAAUGCAACAUGAAAGGUAAUAAAAAAUAUUUCAAGGUUAAGAGUCUUGAAAACCAUAACGAUGAUGUUCAUCAAAAAAUAAAAAAAGAGCCCAUUUAACUAUCUCUCUUUGAUACCCUCCUCUAGGUAGCUGGAUCAUUCUCGACCAUCAUUUUCCUUUUACACUCAUAUUCUUGAUCAUUCUUUUGAGAUAAACGAAAUUUUUCUGCUGAAUUAAUUUAUUUAGAAUUCAUGGACUUAUCGGCGACAAAUACGGUGAAGUAUAUGACCAACGACGAGCAUGAUGAACUCGAAAAGACCUUUGCAUUCUUCGACCUCCAUACGGAGGGUGCGUUAUAUGCACCCUUCAAUUUAUCUUCUAAAAUAUUUCUUCAAUUCUGUUUAAAACCUCUUAUUGUUCUAUGUAGGAUUAUUUUUGAAAUUUGUUUAAAUAUUUUCUUGUUCUAUGUAGAAUUAAUCAAUAAUACGAAUGUUGUCCGAUUUCCCGGACAUAGCCCAACCGACAAAGAGCUGCAAUCAUUAGCCAAUAGAAUUUGUGGAGAAAAUUAGAAAAAGAUUAGUUUUUUUCUAAAUUUUUGAAAAUUAUAUCUCAUCUUAUGAAGAUAUGAUUUUGAUUGUUAGAAAUCCUUUUUUUUUUUCCUUUUUGCUUCUUCUUCUCCUCCUUCUUUUUCUUCUUAUUAUUAUCGUUCUUCUUCUUCUUCGUUUCCUGCUACUUCAGAUAACUGACACUCAUGAGAAGCUCUUCAAUGGGGAUUCAAUACUCUAUUUGCAAUGUAACGAGAAGGACAAUAAAAAAUAUUUCAAGGUUAAGAGUCUUGAACGCCAUAACGAAGAUGUUCACCGCAAAAAGAAAAAAGAGCUUAUUUAACCAUCUCUCUCUGAUACCCUCCUCCACGUAGCUGGAUCAUCCCGCACCACCAUUCUCCUUUUACCCUCAUAUUCUUAAUCAUUCUUUUGAGAUAAACCAAAAUUUUCUACUAAAUUAAUUUCGUGACUCAUCGGCGAUAGAUACGACGAAGUGUAUGACGAACGACGAGCAUGAUGAACUCGAAAAGGCCUUUGCAUUCUUCGACCUCGAUACGGAUGGUGCAGUACAUGCAAUAAAUUUAUCUUCUAAAAAUAUUUAUUCAAUUCUGUUUAAACCUUUUAUUGUUCUACGCAGGAUUAAUCUUUAAGUUUGUUUAAACAUUUAUUUGUUCUAUGUAGAUUUAAUCGAUGAUAAACAACUUGUGAAUAUUGUCCGAUUUCUCAGACAUAGCCCCACCGACGACGAGCUGCAAUCAUCAGCCAAUAGAAUUGGUGGAGAAAUUGGAAAAAGAUUAGUUUUUCUAAAUUUUUGAAAAUUAUGACUCAUCUUCAUAUAUGAUUUUGAUUGCAGGAAAUCCAUUUUCUUUCUUUUUCUUCUUCUCCUCUUUCUUAUUAUUGUCCUUAUUCUUCUUCUUCUUCUUCUUCUUCUACUUCUUCGUUUCCUGCUACUUCAAAUAACUAACACUCAUGAGGAGCUCUCCAAAGAGGGGAUUCAAUACUCUGCUUGCAAUGCAACAAGAAGGGCAAUAAAAAUUAUUUCAAGGUUAAUAGUCUUGAAAACUAUAACGAAGAUGUUCAACACAAAAAUAAAAGAAGAGCCCAUUUAACCAUCUCUCUCUGAGACACUCCUCCAGGUAGCUAUAUCAUCCCCCACCACACUUCUACUUUUACACUCAUAUUGUUGAUCAUACUUUUGAGAUAAAUCAAAAUUUUCUGCUGAAUUAGUUUAUUUAGAAUUCGUGGACUUAUCGGCGACAAAUACGGUGAAGUAUAUGACCAAGGACGAGCAUGAUGAACUCGAAAAGGCCUUUGCACUCUUCGACCUCCAUACGGAUGGUGCAAUAUAUGCACCCUUCAAUUUAUCUUCUAAAAUAUUUCUUCAAUUUUGUUUAAAACCUCUUAUUGUUCUAUGUAAGAUUAUUUUUGAAAUUUGUUUAAAUAUUUUCUUUGUUCUAUGUUGAAUUAAUCAAUAAUAAACAACUUGCGAAUGUUGCCUGAUUUCCCAGACAUAGCCCAAUCGAUGAAGAGCUGCAAUCAUUAGCCAAAAGAAUUUGUGGAGAAAAUUGAAAAAAGAUUAGUUUUUUAAAAUUUUUGAAAAUUAUGGCUCUAUCUUAUGAAGAUAUGAUUUUGAUUGCUGGGAAUCCAUUUUUUUUUCUUUUUCUUAUUCUCCUCCUCCUUAUUAUUAUUGUUGUUGUUCUUCUUCUUCUUUGUUUCCUACUACUUCAAAUAACUGACACUCAUGAGAAGCUUUUCAAUGGGGAUUCAAUACUCUAUUUGCAAUGCAACGACAAGGGCAAUAAAAAAUAUUUCAAGGUUAAGAGUCUUGAAAGCCACAACGAAGAUGUUCACCGCAAAAAAACGAAGAACCUAUUUAACCAUCUCUCUCUGAUACCCGCCUCCACGUAGCUGGAUCAUCCCACACCAUCAUUCUCCUUUUACCCUCAUAUUCUUAAUCAUUCUUUUGAGAUAAACCAAAAUUUUCUGCUGAAUUAAUUAAUUUAGAUUUCGUGAUUCAUCGGCGAGAUCUACGGUGAAGUAUAUGACGAACGACGAACAUGAUGAACUCGAAAAGGCCUUUGCAUUCUUCGACCUCAAUACAGAUGGUGCAGUACAUGCAAUGAAUUUAUCUUCUAAAAUAUUUAUUCAUUUCUAUUUAAAACCUUUUAUUAUUAUAUGUUGGAUUAAUCUUUAAAUUUGUUUAAACAUUUUAUUUGUUCUAUGUAGGUUUAAUCGAUGAUAAACAACUUGCGAAUAUUGUCCGAUUUCUCAGACAUAGCUCCAUCGACGACAAGCUGCAAUCAUUAGCUAAUAUAAUUGGUGGAGAAAAUACGUAAAAGAUUAGUUUUUCUAUACUUUUGAAAAGUAUGGCUCAUAUUAUGAAGGUAUGGUUUUGAUUGAAGGAAAUCCAUUUUCUAUCUUUUUCUUCUUCUCCUCCUUCAUCUUCUUAUUAUUGUCCUUAUUCUUCUUCUUCUUCUUCUUCCUCAUUCUUGCUACUUCAGAUAACUAACACUUAUGAGGAGCUCUUCCAAGGGGAUUCAAUGCUCUGCUUGCAAUGCAACAAGAAGGGCAAUAAAAAAUAUUUCAAUGUUACUUGUCUUGAAAACCAUAACGAAGAUGUUCAACGCAAAAAUGAAAGAAGAGCCUAUUUAACCAUCUCUCUUUGAUACACUCCUCCAGGAAGCUGGAUCAUCCCGCACCACCAUUCUACACUCAUAUUGUUGAUCAUACUUUUGAGAUAUACCAAAAUUUUUUGUUGAAUUAAUUACUUUAGAAUUUGUGGACUCAUCGGUGACAAAUAUGGCGAAGUAUAUGACAAACGACGAGCAUGAUGAACUCGAAAAGGCCUUUGCAUUCUUCAACCUCGGUACGGAUGGUGUAGUAUAUGCACCCUUCAAUUUAUCUUCUAAAAUAUUUCUUCAAUUCUAUUUAAAACCUCUUAUUGUUCUUUGUAGGAUUAAUCUCAAAUUUUGUUUUAAUAUUUUAUUUGUUCUAUGUAGAAUUAAUCGAUGAUAAACAACUUGCGAAUGUUGUCCGAUUUCUCGGACAUAGCCCCACCGACGACGAGCUACAAUCAUUAGCCAAUAGAAUUGGUGGAGAAAAUUGGAAAAAGUUUAGUUUUUCUAAAUUUUUGGAAUUUAUAGCUCCUCUUAUGAAAGUAUGGUUUUGAUUACAGAAAAUCUAUUUUCCUUCUUUUUCUUCUUCUCCUCCUUCUUCUUCUUGUUCUUAUUCUUCUUCUUCAUUUCCUGCUACUUCAGAUAACAAAAACUCAUGAGGAGCUCUUCAAGGGGGAUUCAAUACUCUGCUUGCAAUGCAACAAGGGCAAUAAAAAAUAUGUCAAGGCUAAGAGUCUUGAAAGCCAUAGCGAAGAUGUUCAACGUAAAAAGAAAGAAGAGAUCUCUUUUGAUACCCUCUUCUAGGUAGCUGGAUCAUCCCCCACCACCAUUCUCCUUUUACACUCAUAUUCUUAAUCAUUCUUUUGGGAUAAACGACAAUUUUCUGCUGAAUUAAUUAAUUUAGAAUUCAUAAAAUUAUCGGUGACAAAUAUGGCGAAGUAUAUGACAGAUGGCGAGCAUGGUGAACUGGAAAAGGCCUUUGCAUUUUUCGACCUAGGUAUGGAUGGUGCAGUAUAUGCACCCUUCAAUUUAUCUUCUAAAAUAUUUCUUCAAUUCUGUUUAAAACCUCUUAUUGUUCUAUGUUGGAUUAAUCUUGAAAUUUAUUUAAACAUUUUAUUCGUUCUAUGUAGAAUUAAUCGAUGAUAAACAACUUGCAAAUGUCAUCUGAUUUCUUGAACAUAGCCCCACCGAUGAAGAGUUGCAAUAAUUAGCCAAUAGAAUUUGUGGAGAAAAUUGAAAAAAUAUUAGUUUUUGUAAAUUUUUAGAAAUUAUGGCUCAUCUUAUAAAGAUAUGAUUUUGUUUGCUGGAAAUCUAUUUUCUUUCUUUUUCUUCUUCUCCUCCUUCUUCUCUUAUUAUUAUUAUUAUUAUUAUUAUUAUUAUUAUUAUUAUUAUUCUUUGUUUCCUGCUACUUCAGAUAACUGACACUCAUGAGAAGCUCUUCAAUGGGGAUUCAAUACUCUGCUUGCAAUGCAAAAAUAAGGGCAAUAAAAAAUAUUUCAAGGUUAAGAGUCUUGAAAGCCAUAACGAAGGUUCACCGCGAAAAGAAAGAAAAGCCCAUUUAACCAUCUCUCUCUAAUACCUUCUCCAGGUAGCUAGAUCAUCCCCACCACCAUUCUCCUUUUAUCUUCAUAUUCUUGAUCAUUCUUUUGAGAUAAACCAAAAUUUUCUGCUGAAUUAAUUAAUUUUGAAUUUGUGGACUCUUCGGCGACAAAUACGACAAAGUAUAUGACGAACAACGAAAAUGAUGAACUUGAAAAGGCCUUUUAUUCUUCGACCUCAAUAUGGAUUAUGCAUUAUAUUCACCCUUCAAUUUAUCUUCUAAAAUCUUUCUUCAAUUCAGUUUAAAUCCUCUUAUUGUUCUAUGUAGGAUUAAUCUUGAAAUUUAUUUAAACAUUUUAUUUGUUCUAUGUAGGAUUAGUCGAUGAUAAACAACUUGCGAAUGUUGUCCAAUUUCUCAGAUAUAGCCCCAACGACGAUAAGCUGCAAUCAUUAGCUAAUAGAAUUUUUGGAGAAAACUAGAAAAAGAUUAGUUUUUAUAGAUUUUUGGAAAUUAUGGCUCAUCUUUUGAAGGUAUGGUUUUGAUUGCUGGAAAUCCAUUUUCUUUCUUUUUCUUCUUGUCCUCCUUUUAAUUAUUAUUAUUGUUCUUCUUCUUCUUCGUUUCUUGGUACUUCAUAUAACUGACACUCAUGAGGAGAUCUUUAAAGGGGAUUCAACACUCUACUUGUAAUGCAACAAGAAGGGCAAUAAGAAAUAUUUGAAGGUUAAAAGUCUUGAAAGCCAUAACGAAAAUGUUCAUCGCAAAAAGAGGAACAUGUGCAAACUCUGUAGCAACGCCUUUGCGUCCAAGAUAGUGCUAGAGUUCCACGAAAUCAAGUAUCAUUGAAUGUGAAGUUGGUACCCCUGCAGAUUAGGAAUGACUUGUUCUCUUGAAGAGAUAAAAGUUCCUUUCUAUUUUGCUUCAUUUUUCUUUUAAACCUCCCUUUGGGAGUGAAACUUAGGAGGGAUUUGAAUACAAUCCAUAGAUUGGAUUAGAAGGGGGCAAUCGUCACCGUCUUGAGCUGCUCAGUCCUAUCCAUUGGAUUUCACUUAAGCCAGAUGCAUCUUGGCCGAUCAAGUUCCCUAACCGCCUUAACCGUGAGUGUCUCUGCAUUAUUUCUUUCUCCUUUGGUAAUGACCCAAUAGUCCCAUAUUGAGUGGGAAACUUGUAGCGCCCCAAUAGUUCCACAUCGGGUGAGAAACUAAUUCUGAUUAGAAUAUAUGAGACCUACAUGCUAGUAAUAGUAACUAGGCUUAAGCAUUUUGUGUUGAUGGUUUGGGCCCAACGAGUUAUUGUUACUAGCGGGUCAGGUCGUUACAAUUGGUAUCAGAGUCGAAUACUAGCCGAAAGUGUGAGAGCUAAGUGCUAUGCAGGGCAAAGUGCUACACCAACGGGUUUGGUGGGAGUCACCUCUUGAACCCGUAGGAGCCACCACUAGAAUCUCACAUCGCCUAGUAAUUCUGGUCCUGGUCUGUUUGUCUGUUAUCUGGUCUAGACCCGACGAGGAUGUCAGGGUCUAAACAGGGGAAGUUUAUAAUGCCUCAAUAGUCCCACAUCGGGUGGAAAACUAAUUCUGAUUAGAAUAUAUGAGACCUACACGCUAAUAAUAAUAACUGGGCUUAAACAUUUUAGGCCAGUGGUUUGGGUCUAACGAGUUAUUGUUGCUAGCGGAUCGGGUCGUUACACCUUUAUUACAGCAUUGCCAUUCAUCCUAACUAUAGAAAAGGGUCAGCUACUGUAAUUAUAUGUAGAAAACUUUAGCAUCAAGUGAUGCUUAUCAAUUGAUGAGAAUGCUCUACUCCUGAAGUUAUACAUACCAAGUUGACAGCACAGAUAUGUUACAUUAAAUUUGGCUAACGCUGGACCGGUAUGUGUGAUAACACAACUAAACAGUAAGUCAAUGCAAGGCCCUGGAUGAACGCAUCCAACAGAAACACAGAAGUCCGUGAUCUCGGAUUGUUCGCUCUCACAUUACACACUGCCUAAGUGAAGCAAGAUUAUUUCACUACAUAUUUCACUGUGACCCCAGAAUGCAAGUUAAUAACUCUCUUAAAAGACAAACUGAAUACUUUACAACAUUUUCCAUUAUACUUAGGAGAACAUAAUAUAUAGAAACUAUCAAAAUGAUCAUUCAAAAAGAAAGGCUUGCAUAGAAGUCCACAUUUUUCACAAAAAAAAAGCUGUAUAUUACAUGUAUACACAUCAAUUGUUUUUCACUGAGAUACAAUCAAGACUAACACGGAAAUGAGGGAGUUCCUCAAUAUUAGUGCGAUGGCGAUUCGCGAAAUGAAUUCAUCGGCUGUAUAUAUCAUCAUCUUCUGAGUCAGAAACCCCCAGCAUAGCAAGGGCUAAGUGACUUUUCACAUCAGACAUCUCCAGUAGACCGUGCAGCCUAGUACUACCAUAUCCAACAAAGCAACCAUGGCCCAUAAAGAUGGGCCAGUCGCCACCACAAUUGCCUUGACCUUGCAAUAUUGCAAUCACUUGAUCAAUGCUUGGUCUUCCGGAAUCCUCACAGCUUAAGCAAGCAGUGGCCGCAUGAACCAUCCGACUCAUCUCAUUUGAUGAAUUUGAGUCGAGCUUUAUCCUUGGGUCAAGCAAUUUCUCCAUGGCUCCUUCGCCUUGCUGCAAAAGCGGCCUAGCCUGUCAAUAAGGGAAAAAUCAGUCUAUAGUAGUGAAAAGGAAAAAAAUGACAUUAGAACUGACGAUUCAUACUACAGAGCUAGUCAAGCAAGUAGGUUAGCCCUUAAUGUAUUAUUUGUGGAAGAUUGGGAAUCAUCUUUUAAGUUGUAAUGCUGUUUCAUGACAUUAAAGGUGAAACUUUUUCCAAGUACAGAAAAAGAAUGUAAAACAUGGUGAAAACUUGGGUGCUGUAGAAACACUGACACUCUCCAUACAAUGGUGUACUAGAAGAUGAAACUUCUUUCUGAAUGAAAUCAUUGCAAGUUUAGCAUCUAAUCCAAAUCAAGACAACUAUCAGUGAAAGGGGCUUCUUUCAGCGGCUGGAAUCCUCUCUCUUCUGAGAGGUAAUCAUUGUUCAGUGGGAAUGUCAGACCCUUGCAACAUCCUCCACCAUUCCAGAAUUCUCAAAAAGAAAAGCAAACAGAUUAUUUUUUAAAAAAAUCAACAAACACAAGCGGAGACACAUUCUACGAUGCGGUAAUCAAAUUGCCUGACAGGAUAAAUAACUUGAUGGCCUUUAUAGUUCUCCAACUUUUUGGGCAUGACUAGUAGCAUGACCAUUUUGCAAGGAGCCUUCAUUUUGUGAACACUUGAGAUAAACCUUUUGAUUUCACUUAGGAAGUGUUUGGAUUAACGCAAUCAUCAUUCUAGUGAGAGUAGAAACAUAGGUUAUUCCACCAACCACAAUACUUCUGAAAAGAUCCACCAGCUAUUUCUAGCAUUCCUUGCCAACAAUUUCCCUUGGGAAUGGUCCAAAGUCACCUUUUGGGGAAAGAACCAAACAGUAUUCCAUAACUAGGCAGCAGCUCAGACCAAUAUUUUCUCUCUUGCUGUACUUUAUUUACAAGCACAUUACAAUUCCAUCAAUCCAAGCAUCCCCUUAUGGGAUGCAGAAAAUACUGCCCUCUAGUUAGCUAGAUCACCAAUUCAGAUGCAGGCUAAAGGGUUCCAUAAUCUACUUCAGAAACGUCAGACCGUAAAUUAAGAUCACUAAUCAGAAAGGAUGCAUAGUUCUUCAUUGUUUUGCCAAGCUUGGAGCGCACAACCAAUGGCUACCCAAUAAGAUAAUUGUACAUUAUUCAAGUAUUGACUUGUAAGACUGAUAGCAAAGCAAAUGCAAGAAAGGACGUUUGCACAAUUGAGACAAUCAACAACACUAGAAUAUGGGACCUUAAAGAAUUUUGCUUCUCUUCCACAUUUUAAGAGCACUUUUCUUCAACAGAAAGGACAAAACUAAAUCCCACAUGAACACAGGGAUGUGACAUAUCUAAUGGAACACAUUCAAUCUAAAAAGCUUAAACCUGGUUCGAGCCCACUAGUAUGCAUAAACCUUUUUAGGUCUAGGCCCAUCAGCAUAUAUAUCAACCCUUUACUCUUUUAUUAAUUAUCAGAGAUGGGUGUAUUCACAUGUGUACUCUUAACAAUCUCUGCCCUUCACAUAUGAACCAAUCAACUCCCCUUUGAACUCUUUUUUUUUUUUUUGAACUCUCUAAGGCUCUAAGCACUGCAUCGUUUUUUGUUUUUUUUUAUUGCACUCUCUAAACAUUGCACCGAGUCACUUUUCGGCUCUUUAUUACAUCACGCCCUUCCACGUUCUUGUUUUAAACGAGUUACCGCGAACCCACUCAUCUGAGUCCAUACGCUUUUAACCAGCACUACUCAGGAAAUCAUCCGAGCCCAAAUGCCAGACUUGGGGGCCUAAUUCUUUUGAGUGCAUCAAACCAUCAUCUCGCGUUUAUCUGAGUCCAUGCGUUACCUGCUUUUCGGCUCUUUAUUACAUCACGCCUUUCCACGUUCUUGUUUUAAACGAGUCACCGCGAACCCACUCAUCUGAGUCCAUGCGCUUUUAACCAGCACUACUCGGGAAAUCAUCCGAGCCCAAAUGCCAGACUUGCGGGCCUAAUUCUUUUGAGUGCAUCAAACCAUCAUAUCGCGUUUAUCUGAGCCCAUGCGUUACCUCAUGCUUCUCAGGCCCAAUUCUUUUGAAUUCACUAAACCAUCAUAUAGCAUUACUAUGACCGCUCGUCGCAAACCUGUCGUAAAGAACAAAUCGCACCACACCAAGUAGAUGAGUAGCUAGAAUCAUCAAAACAUCAGCUCCUAUACCCACUUGUUAGGGAGUUCUGGACGCAGCCCAAGCCCACAUGAGCCCAAUGAUGUGAUAUAUCUAAUGGAAACAUGAAAAAAUGAAAGUAUAUAUCUAUUCUUUACUCUCUUAUUAAUUAUUUGAUGUGGGACUAUUCACAUAUGAUGAUGUUAAAUCUUAACAGUUAACACAUAUAACAAAAUACAGAAGAUUAUUUUUUCUAAACAGACCAUUCCUCUCAUGCCUUAUUGAGCAAAGAAGUUCCCACCAUGUCCUGGAGACGUACUAGAUUUAGAUAUCCCACACUUUGUAAUGCCUCCUCAUGAUUUUGACUUAAACCUUGUGAAUUGUCUUGCUUUUUGCUAGUCAAUAUUCUAUCUUCUGCUUUUAAACAAUUUCAUUGCCAAAAACUUCAGUUCAUAUAAAAUAACAAACUCCAAUACACCAUAUCAUUCCCAUUCAACUUGUUUCUCACCUAAAAUCUUCCUCAUAAUGUCUUCAAGGGAAGACCUGCAUACUUCUUGACAUAAGCUAGACUGGUCUGCUCAUCUGCAUAAAGAAAGUUGUGCUGCCAACCAAAAUACUUAAAUGCAUUCUCCACAAUGAAUUCUCCUAUGAAUUCUUCUCAUUAGAUUGACUCCAUUGGUCAAAUUCAAUAAGAUGAUUGUCAAAAUCAUUUGCUAAAUAGUUGAUCUACAAUUGAUGGGCGAUAUUCUUUAUCAGUCGAAGGAUAAUCUUCACAGGAUUGAUUUCUGCUAAAGUAUAAGAUUGCUCUGCAAUCCCUUUUAAUCACAAUUAUACCCAAUCUUCAUUAGGGAGUAAGUCUAGACAGCAUAGAAGUUUCUUACGCCGGGCUGCCUUUUUCUUUUUUAGGUAAGGAACUAUUUUCUACUUGGUUAAUUACUUAAAAUCAAGGGAUGAUGUAUAAUAUACCCUUCAAAACUUCAAAAAUAUCAAAUAUACCCCUGGUUGACCAAAAUGCCCUUAUUGAUUGCCAAAAACUCCUUCAAAUAUCCCUCAAACCCCAGGAUUUUACUAAUGGGAUUUGAGGUUUAGAAGGGUGUUUUGCGAAUAGAAGGGUAAAUUUAAAAUUUUUUAAUAGUAGAGGGGCAUAUAAGCAAGAGCCCUUAAAAUUAACUAGGGAUGCAAAAGGAUCAGGUCUUAUUGCUAGGCGAGAAAGUUGUAGCUCAAACAGCAACAUCAAAAUUUUAGACAAAAGUCCAGCCCAACCAUUUGUUCAGAUCCCAACCAUGAUCUAGGUCCAGUUUUGUUACAUAGGUUAGGCCACUCUAUAGUUUUAUGAGAUCAUCUGAUCAACAUGAUCUAGAUCCCAACCAUUUGUUCAGUUUGGGUUGGGGACAGACGGUUAGACGUUGCAAACAAAAAUGGCCACGUCGUCCCGCGCAGAAGCAUUAUUGCUGGCAUGCUACACUGACCCUUAUACCAUGACACUGAGCCAGCAAAAGCGUAUUGAUCAUGCUGUUGUCAUGCAACAUCCUACCUUAUAUUGUCAUUGUGUCAUGCUGGAAAACAGCUGCUCAGGUCCCAGUAGGUUUUAGAUUGUAGGAUUAGACAAGAAGGUGAAGAAGAGAAGGGUGUCACUCUAUUGGGAAUCGGUUUACUAAAACAUGCCUGAAACUUACCAUACAACUCUGCUGGAAACCCUAGCAAGAUCCAGCAGUGGAAACCAUGGAAGAUGAGAGGUAAAAUCUAACUUCCAGCAUCAUCAUUGGAAACAUCAUGCAAAGCUUCAAUUCCCACAAGUAGAUGCCCUAUUCUCAUAAGGGUGCUGUUGGGCAGUCGGACAAACUGCCAGUUUCUAAGCAACAUGAAGUUUCUACGCACACAAAGGCCAAGCCGGAAAAAAUCAUGCCAAUAACAAGUUAAUCCGUGGUCGAGAAUACAAAAUCCUCUGCUCUUGAAAAUAGUUUAACUUUGUUGAGCUAAAGACAAGCUUGGAAACAAAAUGUUGAAAAGAAAUCAAUUACUAAAGACAAAUUUGUUGACCAAAGACCAAACCUGAAAAGAAAAUAAUUAAAAGAUGAAUCCAUUACUAGAGACAAAAUAUAAGGUAAUUAGUUGCAAUAUAAGACAAAUUAUUGCAAAUUAGGGUAGUAGCUUGUCCCUGGAUGUAUUAGAACUACGUACUUGAUCCAUUGGUUAGCCUAUUGACAUAUAUGUCCUCAGUUCAUUUCCGUAUCUAACUCUCCGUAAAAGACAUUCCUAAACUACUAGCCUGUGCAGUAAUGUGGCUUAAAAAGAGAUUCCUAAGAAAGCAAGGUGCUUACAUUGACUUUCCUUCCUGGCUUGCUGUAUAUUUCACAUAUGCCUGAGGAGAGGGAGCCAGCGAGUCUGUUUCGCCAAACUGCUCUAACCUAGACUGUGGAAAGCAGUAGAAAAACUGCUUCAAUAUUGAGGUUCGACAUGUAUUGAUCCUAAGACUUCAACCUCUGCUUUCAAAGAGACCUUAUGCAAGAUGGAGUACAAGACCCUACCUUUUGUUCGCUUCAAAAUAUGAUUUAUAAUUAUUUAGAAAGCUUUUGAAUUUCUAAAAACUUUGAAAUAUAUUUUGAAUAUUUUUUGAUUUUUUUAUGAAUUUUUGAAAUAAAAAAAGAAUUAUGAAAAUUACAAAACUAAAGAAAAAUAGAAGAAAAUUUAGAAAAAUAAAAAAAGAAAAAAUAGAAAAGAUCAUCGAGACUCACUCCUAAACCGAACUCACUUCGAAAUCGGACUCACUCUAGAGUGAUGCAUUCAUGACAGAAAAAAAAAUAAAAAUAAAAAUUGCUUGUGCACCAAAACUCCGAUUCAUCUUUUAUUAAUUUAUUAGUAUCAUCAUCACAAAAUGAAGCUCUAUGUCUUACUUAUAUUAUCCUAAGCCUUAACUACGGAUAACCAACUUCAGAUUUAAUCUUAUCUUAAAUAACUAAUUAAAACAAUUUUAUCUAGAUAUUAACUAAAAAAUACAAUUAUACAAAGCUAAAAAUAAAUGCAAAUAAAAUCAAAUAAGCAGAUAGCUAAAAAUCCUUAUUUAACUAACUAAAAGAUACGAUCAACUAAUCUAAUAUAAUUUAAAAGACGAUGAACUUAAUUGGUUUAACCCGAUCAACUAGAUUGGGCCUAGUCAAGUCUGUAUCAAGACCACCGCCGUAGCACUGUAGCAAUAACAGCUACAAAAUGCAAAGAGGAACCUCAGUAAUAACAGCAAGAUAGACAGGGACCCCAUGUAUUAGCUUCUCCUAAAGUAUCAAGGCCAUCGCUGCCAACAACCAGGAGAGAGACCAACCUUAUGCUCUCCCACAAUCUCAUAGCUAGCAACUUUGUUCAUCACUAUGGCCUAGCUUACGGCGACCUACUUAUCCUCUGACUCUGCACUUGAAAGUCUCCACCAAUGCCUCGCCAUGGGCUUCCAAUUCCUCAAUGACAUCAUUCCUCAAUCAAUUACUUCCACUUCAAUGGCAAUCAAGCCAUCCAAAAGAACUUUGAGUGUGCAGAUCGCGUUCCACAUCAUCGACCUCAACACUCUGCAAAGCCUGAAAUGGCCAAGGUUGUUUCAUAUAUAGACCUUAUGGCCGACAGUAAGGCUCACGAGGCCGGGUUCAUUGAUGGAAGCAUAUAAGGCAAUGGGGAAGUGGCUUUACAACUUUGUUAUCACACUCAGGCUGCGCUUUGUGCUCUUUGAGUUUUUCCUGUGAUGGUAGUGCAAAAGCUCUGCCACUUGCUCAGAAAAGUCACCUACCAGCUCCAACAUGGUCUGACUCCACCGGGCUAACCUCAACUUCUUCCUUCACCUUACAAACUGAGGAAAUAAAAUGCAAACUACAGUGUUCCCCCCAGUACAAAAUAAUUUUUAUGUUAAGUUAUAAAUCCACAAGAUCAUAUUAGCAAACUUUAACAUGUAACAUGUUGGCAUCCCUGUAAAAGAAUUAUAUCACAAUGGUAAAGAAAAUUAAGAACUACACUUCCCUCUUUGCAUUGAACCUACUGUCAUGAUGAACUUAAGAGUUGAUUAUUAUGUUGCUGAGCGCCUUUAAGUGCAAUGGCAAAUUAAACAAUUGUUACACUACUCUUGUAGUCAGUCUCAAGUGUUGGCUGCAAAGACUCCAGUCAUUGUUUGAGAAAAGAAAGUAAAAUAGAGUAAUAGAACAGAAACACAUACUCAGCCAAAUGUGCAUCAUAUAGGGCUAUUUUGAAAUGAAAGAGAGCGCUAAGCUGUAAUUUUCAGUUCUUACCCAUAAGACCAAGUUUUCAUCUCCUUGAGGCCUGCUCUGAUCAAUUGCCUUUCUCCCAGUAAUUAGUUCCAACAGAACCACCCCAAAUGCAUAAACAUCAGUUUUAUCCGACAGUUUCCCAUGUUGGAAAUACUCAGGAGCCAGAUAGCUAAAUAAGCAACAACAAUAAGAACAUAUUCAACAAAUGGAUCACUGCAAAAGAAAAGCUAUGUGUUAAAUUACUUUUGAUAUUACCCAAAUGUUCCUUUGACAGACUUGCAAAGGAAAGGCAGAGAAGUCCCACGAGCCCAUGUAGCGAAUCCAAAAUCACAUAGCUGUUAACAAAAUUAAAUCAGUCCAACCAGAUGAUUUAAUAUCUAUUAAUGAAAUACUAUUUAUGUGGUCCAAGUACCCAUCAUUUCCAAACUUUCUUUCUCACUCCCUUUAAUCUUAGAGACGUAAAACUACGGCUUGAUUUUAGUGUAUAAAUUACUAUAUAACUAGGGUAGUAAAAGAAACUGAUCAUGGCGUAAUCCUAUUGUUCUAUGGACAUCUAUUUUAGAGAAGUACGAAGCAAGCAUUUUACAAAGAAGUGUGAUUUUAGGUGUUGAGUACACUACUCACAACUAUUAUUUCGAUAAGUCCACUGCUAUAAAGAUAAUCCUUUGACUUUGGAAUGUAAUUAGAUCCUCAACAGUUUGUAUUCAAACAAGUUAGUUUCUAUUCUUACCAAAUAUCUUAAUCUCAGCUAAUAUGUUUAUAUCCCCAACAUCCAGCAAUGCACGUCCACCCAUACGGAUAUAACUAGUGAAAAUUCAGAUUUUGUUGCUUAAUGUGCUAGCUCUCGCAUGCUAUGGACUGCCAUUGGUCAUAAUUAUGAAGGGAAAAUGCUUUCAGCAAAGAUACUAAAAAAAUUAGGUAUGAAUCAAGUAACAACCUAAGUACCAAAUUCCAGAACUAAAUAGCAGUUCAGGAAAAAUCAGAACUGUUUGCCCAAAACAAUUUGCACUUAGUCCGCUGACCAAAGCAAAUAUCACACAAGGUUUUAAGCGCCCAUUAGCAUAGGCCGUACCCACCGUACCAACAAGAUAUCAGCAUGAUACGACUCCCGUAUCGAUGGUACUGCUUAACAUCCUCUUUUGUUUGAAAUUAGCUGGUUUUCUCUGUAAUAACCCAACCCACUAGCACUAAUAACUCUUUGGGCCUAAACCACUGAUACAAAAUAUUUAAGCCUAGUUAUUAGUUCUAGUAUGUCAAUCACAUAUAAGCCCAUCAUACUCUUCCACAAUAUCCAAUGUGAGACCAAUGGAUUUCCUAUGUUUUAGGUCUUGACGCCCUUGUCAAUCCAUUCGCACACACAGCCCAAGAUCACCUGGCGAUGUAAGACUCACCUCACACACUUCCGACUAGUAAACUGACUCUAAUAUCAACUAUAAUUAUCCAGCCAACUAGCAUUUAUAACUUGUUACUUGGGCCCAAACCACUAACCCAAAAUAUUUAAACUCAAUUAUUUGCAAGUGUGUCAAUCACAUAUAAGCCCAUCACACUCCCAUAUUAUUCGAUGUGGGACUAUCAGGAUGUCACAAUCUCAAUAAUUUGAUAAAGAUAUGUAAUAAACAAUUAGAAUAUAGUGGUGCCAAAGAAAAUAAAUAUUUUUAUAUCAUAUAUAGUGUGUAGGGGCACAAGUAUUUUUGUGAUCGGCCCAAAUCAACACGACACGACAUGCCCAGUGUCGUGUUAUGCCAUACCAGCAAGUUCUCGACGCGACCCUAAGUCACGAUGCUAAUAUCAAGUUAAUCAUGACAUAUGCAACUUUUUUUUCCUUGUUAACAUGCACUAUGAAUAUCAGAAGCAAUCAAAAGGAGAGAGAUCGAAAAGAGAAGAAAAAACUCGCACUUUGGGGCUUUUCUUGGAGGAGAGGAGAAUGUUGGAGGACUUGAUGUCUCGGUGGAUCACGCACUUUUCGGUGCCGUAGUGCAGGUACUCCACAGCCCGCGCCGCCCCCACCGCCACCUUGUACCUCGCCGUCCAAGGCAACACUUUCCCUACAUACUACUAAUUAGCACUAAUUUGACGAAAAAAUUAACUAAGCAUUCGCAAUUCUAAGUGAUAAAGAACGUGGUUACAAAAGGAGAGGACUAGUACGAGAGUGGUGGAGAUGGCGAUCGAGGCUACCGCCGGAAACGAACUUGUAAACAAGAAAGAGGCCGGCCUUAUCGAUGCAGAAGCCGAUCAGGGGGACGAUAUUGGGGUUGCAGAGGGAGCUCGCGAUCAUCAGCUCCCGGCAGAAAGCCUUGGUGCUCUCCCUGCCCUCCCCCUCCACCCUCUUUAUCGCCACCGCCCUCCUCCGCACUCCGACCCUCCCCCUGUACACUCUGCUCAGUGGGCCCCUGCCCAGCUCCCUCCCUAACAAAUAAUAUCACAGUUUCCACUUGAUUCAAUAAUUACAUAUUAACAGUUUCCGUAGUUGGAGUAAUCGAAAUCAAGAAUUUGGACCUGCAGAGAGGCCAUGAGUGGCGGAAUGUAUCUCGGCGUAGCUGAACCGCACCGCCCGCGAGGCGAUCGGAGAGAUGCUCCUCUCGAGAAAAUCCAAUCUCUGCCACUGCAGAGCCUCCGGCGCAGACGGAGGCGGGGCAGCGGCCCCCUGCCUGUCAUCAUCAUCCUCCAGACUGACGAGCAGCAGCACCGCCGAGGCGACACCGGCGGCGGCGGCGGCGCCGCCCGCAGCCUCCACAGCCGCGGGGGGCGGGGGCGAGCCGCGGAAGCUGAGGCGGAAGGAGGAGUGCACGGAAUGCAGCUCGGCGGCCCCGUCCCCCGCCGCGGCGUCGGCGAGCAGCCACGACCUGUUCUCGGCGUCGCAGCGUCCGCGGCCGUCGUCACUCCCGCCCGUCUGGCGCCUCCCUCUCCGCCGCAACGCGGCAAGACUGGACACCAUUUUCUUGCAAGGAAUUAUCCCGUCAGAGCUGCCGCCCCUUCGCCGGUUCCGGCCGUCUCUGCGGGCAAUGUAGCAGCCGCCGCCACCGCCGCCGCCGCUGCUGCUGUAGGAGGAGCCCAUGAGGCUCCCAGCUCAAGCCCAAAGAGAGAGAGAGAGAGAGAGAGAGCGAAGAAGCAGGAUGCGAGCAUAAAUAUAAAUAAAUAAAUAAAUAUAUAAUAAAGCGUUAAAGGGCGAUUAAUGAGCUCGACAAUGUAGGGGCACUUUAAUUUUAUUGUGUUAGCUUUGCUUGUGGGUGGGGUGUGUUGUUUUGCCUUUGGCCGCUUUUGCUUUUCAGGGUUAAAAGGCGUGUUGGAGUGAAAAUUCUGAUUUACCAACAAGAGAGAAAUGGAGAAGUGUGGCAGGUGGAUAAUAGCGGACUAAUUCGGUUAGUUGGCCUGAUCGGGACAGUUGAUUAUACUAUAAAACUAUCGUCGGUGUACUAAGUUGAAAGAUGCUGUAUGUACGCUAAAAUAGAGUCGACAUAAUAUUCAAGUUUUACCAACUUUUUAUUAGAGUUUUAGUUUAAAAAAAUCUAUAAAAUUAUUGAAAGUAUAUUGAAGUUUAAAUGGAUGAAAUAUAAGGUUUACGCUCUAUUUAUAGGUGUACUAGUUAUACUGCUCUAUUUAGUUUUAAAAAUUAGUAUUUGUACAUUCAAAAAUAAGUUAUAAACCUUUGUAAUACUUUUUUUUUUUUAGAGAGAGAGAUAGAUAGCAUGCUACCUACUAUAUUUAUUUCUUUUGAGUAGUUUCAAUCUGUGUGUUAGGUUUUAGAAUCUAGUUAUUAUGUCUCCGUACAUGGAUAUGUGAUCUGGAUGAGCUUCGAAUUUUAUAGAACCUCAGUUGAGAUUCUAAAACUUCAGUGUAUUCUCAAACAUCAAAAUCAUGUUUGAAAACUCGAACAAUAGAUUGUGUGCUUGGUCUGGGAGUUGUGAAACAAAUUAUGUUUUAAUAAGAAAUCCAUCUGCAAUUAUUCUCCAUCUAUAAAUACCUUUUUUGGGAAACUCCAGCCUCUUUCUUUCUCGGACAAAAAUUUGGUGGAUAUAAUCCCCAAACAUAAUAUUUUGGGGAUUGUUGGAUCCGCGCCAUAUGGCAAGCCGCGCUGAUCUCAACCAGCCAAUAAAAAUAAAUUUUUGAAUAUUUUAAUCCAAUAAAAAUAAUAUUUUCUUUUAGUGGUUGAGAUGGGUACAGCUUGCCAUAUGGCGCCCAUCCGGACAAUCCCCAAACUAUUAUGCUAGGGACUAUGUCCACCAAUUUUUGGUUCUUCUUUUCCCUCUCUCUCUUUCUAGUCCUCUCUCAUUCUCUCUCAAGCUUUCCUACCUCAGAACCGAAUGGAUGGAGCUUCCUUUAGGAGGAGGUCUUGGCCUUUUAAGUGGCCUUGUGGGGAGAUUUCCAAGAACUAGGUGAAUUGUAGUUGAUUCUUAGAUUAGUUAUAUGAAUUUUAGGUGUUGCUUGAAGGGUUCUUAUUUUGGCAUUAAAGUUUUUAGGUUUUUAAGCUUUUUAUGACUUGUGUUGGUGUUUUUGUCCUAAUUUUGGACAUGUGUCGGAAACCUUAAGUUUUUUGGAGUCAUUUUGUGUCAAUCCCCAAGCUAGAUGAGAAUUUGAGCAUAUUUCGUGGCAUCAUUCCUUGAUGUGUGGAGGAAAUAUUGAUUUCGGUAUAAAAUGCUAGUUUUGCAAAAUUUAUCAUGGCUUUUUCAUUAUUUCUUACUCCUUAUGCCUCACCUUAGUGCAUUUUUAGUACCUUAAGAAGUUUAAAGUUGAUUCUAAUUGAAUUGAAGUUGCAACUUUGCGAAAUUCGCGAAGUUUCUACCACUGAAUGUACAAUCUAGGGGCCUAGUUUUGGAACUAUCUAAUAAAAUAGUGCGGUAUAGUUCUAUUUCUAUGGAGCUAUCAAUAUGUUACGGAACCUCAAUCCCAAGUUCCGGAACCUCAGCCACCAAAAAUUCGAAACUUGAAUUUAUUUGAACCUCAGCCACCAAAAAUUCGAAACUUUAGUUUUAUUUGAUUCUUUCUUCAUGAAUAGCACCAAGUGUAAUGCGUGACCUGAUUGCACUCUUCUUAGUUCCAUACAAGGAUCGAGAAGCUGUGAACGUGUUGUGAUUGCCAUCUUAGCAACUUGAGGUAGGUAUACUCUCCGAACUUGAUUUAGCAUCAUCACCACAAUGUGCCUAAACUUGUUUAACCCCUUUGUGGUUGACAUGAACUAUUUAUAGCCUAUUGUAGUUGUACCUCAAGUCGAUCUUAGCACUUAUAUAUUGAUAGCAUGCUUAUUUACUAUUAUAUCGCUUGCUUAUAUCUUAUUCUUGUCAUUAUAUGGAUGUGAAUAGUAAAGAAGCAUGCUAGUUAGAUAAAUGAUAAAAAGGGGCAUUGUGAACCAAGUACUAGUAUUAGGAUUCGGAUUAGACUUGGACUAUUGCUCGAGUUAGUGCAGAUUUAUGUCCUGGCUGCAUUGGAUUACGACUAUCACCUUAAUUACAAGCAUGAUGAUUCACCAAGAAAAUCUAUGGUCCUCUUCGCCGUCUCGAUGGUUUGGCCACCCCGAAGUAGGGUGAGCUCCUCCGAAAGAGAGGUCGUAAUUCAACGAAUUAGUCCGGCCGGGUCUCUUACUAGGUAAGGGAAUUAAGUAUUAGUUGCAUGAGUUUCUUCCUAGACAGAGUAUUGGCAUAAUCUAGGUUUGUUUCUAGAUAGAUCAUUGAGCGUGAGUCAGGAUAGAUGAUUGGGCCAGUUGUUGACACCUUGGUAUAUUCUAUGUAUGCAUAGAACAUUGUAUGUUGUUCACUGACUAUCAUUGUAGAUACCGCUUAUCCAGCUAUAUGACAUUGAUUGUUGCUUAUUAGUCAUCUCUUGACCUUAUAAUGUUAUUACUCCCUUAUUGACUGGUUAGAGUUAGUUUGCUCUUGUCGGCUUGUUGUAUCCACUAAAAACUUUAUCAUUUCUCGAUCCCUGGUGAAUUUAUUUUUUAAGAGCAUUAGGAUGGGUGGAACAUAUUAUAGAGGACCCGUGCUAGAUAGGUUCACCUAGAUAGAUGCACUCUCUACACUUUUGAGGCUAUUAGCAUGGUAUUAUAUAGGAGAUGGAAAAUUUGUGGCCAAAACUAAAGAUAGUUGUAAUCUGUGGUUUUCGGAUGCUAUAACAUGUUUUGCAUACUUUAAAUGUUAUUUAAAAAUUAGAAAUUCUGAUUUUCUUAGCUUUGCUACAUUAUAUUCAAAACUACUUUGUAUUCCAAUGUCAUGUACAUAAGGAAGAAACUAUAUCCAUGUGGCGGAUUUAUGCACACGUCCAGUUGAGUUUCCAUGCUGGGGCGUGACAUUCUUACAUCCAUCCAUGAGUUUAGCCUUUUUUUUUUGGAUUUUUAAUAUUUUCUAAAAAAUAUUUGUAAGACUAGUGUGAAGACAUAGUCUCUUGGAUCGAUAGAGUGUAAAAUAGACACUCAAUUUUUUGGAGUGCACAUAGCAUAUAUUAACUCUACUUCUGUCCUUUAUGCCUCUCUCGACCCCAACUCCGACUCUGCUGGCUCCACCUGCUCUCUUUGCUCCUCUUGCACUCCCGCUGCCCCUUCAUUUGAUGACGGUGGGAAGAGGUUGGGGUGGGCGUGAAUAGAGGGUGGGCGAGGAUGACACGGCGGAGGAGGUGAGCGCAUAGGCAUGGGCGCGGACAAAAGAAUGUGCGAAGGCGAGGUAGCGGAGGAGGGCGAGGGCGAGGGCGAGGGCGAGGCGGCGGAGGAGAGCGAGGCGGCACGGCCAACAACGUCGUUGGUAAAGAGGAGGCGAUGCUGUUGAGAGAGGGUAGAAGGGUAUUUUCGGUAUAAAAAAAUAUAAUAAUAGGUUAUAGACGAACCUCGAACGGAACACUAACGUCAGGGUCCGAAGUGAGCAUUUUUUUAUUUUUUUAAAAGGGCAAAGUGUAGCUUUUUAAAUGAUAAUGAAAAAGUGAAAAAGCAUAUCUUGAUAGGGGUUUUUGUAAUUUAGCCUUAUUACAUAUUAAUUUACUUGCAGAUUCUUUUCAGAUUGGAUUACAAGAAUCUCUCUCUCAAGAGCUUUCCGCUUUUUCUCUCAACUGGGGUAUCUAUGAUGAAGCUCUCUUUUUCUGAAACCUCCGACAAUGAGGCUCUAGACUCUAAAAUAUAAAUUACAAUAAUUUAUAACCCUAAAACCCCAAUUUUAGUAGGAAACAUUUUUCGCCGUCCAUCUGAAUUCCUAUUCACUUAUAGUCGUUUAUCUCCUCUUAAAGACUCUCUUCAAAAUAUUUUUAGAUCAUCCCUAAUCUCAAGAUAUAAGAUUAAAUCAAAUUGAAAUCAAAUCUAACUUAUCCAGUCUGUUACAAAGUUGAGUACGGUACUCAACUUGGAGUACAGUUACUAAAACACCUCUAUAAUUUCAGGACAAGUACUCAAAGUUGUGUAUCGGUACCCAAUACAAAAAAUAGGAAAUUGAGAAACUUUUGAAAAACUUCUGAAAUACUUCUUAAUACUUCUUAAUACCGGUACUCAAACUUCAAAUUCUAAUACUUAACAUCCAAAAACCUUAAAUAUUUUAUUAGUCCACCAUGAUAUCGAGUCGGAAUGUAGCUUCACAUAAUUCAACAGUUUUGUGGGCUUUUAGUAUUAGAAAUAGAAAAAACUUCAAUUUGCCCUUUUUUUUUAUCUAAAAUACCCUUCUAAAUUUCAAAUCUUAUUAGUAAAUCCUAAGUUUGAGGGCAAACCUGAGAAUCUCUACCUGUACCUGCGAGUACCCGCAAGUUAUCCGUAAAAUUGCGGGUAUGGGUACUAAUUUUUUCUAUCCAAAAAAUUAUAGAUAAAAUGAAUGGUACCAGUCAAGUGGUGGGCAUUUUAGACAAUCCGCAGAUACCCACGGGUAUCCCAUAUAUUUUUUAAUUAAAAAAAUAUUUUUUAUUUACCUAUUUUUAAGAAACUCUAACCUAAUUUAAUAUCGUGUCUUUUUUUUUCGUUGCAGCCAUCUCUCGCACUAUGUCGUCUCUCCAACCGCACCACUCUACCAUCCUCAAGCGGGCCGACCUAAAUCGGAACAUGAAGUGUUCAUUUACGGUUUUCGCCUAUGACUUCUCCAGCCUUUUUUUUUUUUGUUUAUCUGCGAUAGUUGUGGAUUGAGUUUUAGUGGUUUAUCUUUAUGAUAUUUACUCUAUAUAUAAUCAACAAAGUUUUAUUAAUUUUGUAUUAUAAAAAUUUGGUAUGAUAAAAUAUUUUAUAUUAUAUAAUUUAUGGGCUUUAAGAUUUUAUAUUGUUUAUUAUCUGUUAUGAUAUUUCAAACAACAAGUUAAAUUAUACUUUUAAAAAUUGUAUAUAUGUGUUUUGCAUUGGAAAAUAUAGGAGCAAACAAGAAAGAAAAGAAAAUCUUGCGGGUAACUAGCAUACCUAUCUGUUCGCUCGCCGGUGGGUAUAGGUAAAGAUGUUGGCUAUCCAAAAAUUUGUAGAUAAAUUUUAUUCAUAGCCAUAUGAUCUGCAGGUGUAAUGAUCUGCCCACAAUUUACUCAUCUCGCCCGUUUGUCAGGUCUAAUUAAAUACAUAUCUUUUAAAAAUUUGUAAAUCAAUAAGACAUUAUGGUCAAUCAGAAAUAUAUUUGAUAUUUUUGAAGUUUUGAAGGCUACAGUAGAUAUUAUUCUAAAAAUUUAAAAAUAAAUUUAUUCAAAAUAAAAUAAUAGAAUCUUAAAAAUAUUAAAAUUAAAAUUUGAAAAUAAAUUUGAUCUUAAGUUCAGAAAGUAAAAAUUAAUAAAAAAUUAUUUUAAUUAUUUAUUAAUCAUCCAAGCAAUUUUUGUCCCGGAAUUAAAAAGAAAAUUAUGAGCGGCGGAGUGAUCAACAAUGUUGUCUUAUUAGUAACCCCAAUUUAUCUCAAUGUAUCAUAGAGGAUUAUAAUUUGUUUUAAAAUUUAAAUUUUUUAUUCUAAAUUUAAUAUUAAAAAGGGGCAAUUGCUUAUAUAUUCUUAAAAAGUUCUCGACUUUCUAAUUUAUUGCUCUUAGAAUACUAAUAUUAAAAAUAUCCUUUAUGUUCCAAUCUAUUUCAAAUAUACCCUUAUUAGAGUUAAAUUCUAUUAAUGAACUAUUAGCAAUAGCUAUUAUUUGUAUAAAAUUAUUAUUUUGCCCUUUCAAAUAUACCCUUCCACUAUCACCGAAUUUUCUUAUUUAUCUUUAAAAGGCUUAAGUUUGGUAUUGAGACCUAUCAAACACUAUUAAAUAAAAUAGAGUUGAUGAAAAAACAUAUAGGGAUGUACUUUUGCGUUCUCCGGUGGGAUCGCAGAAAAUAAAUAUAUCAUAAUCGACUCAUCGCGAUAUGCAGAACACAAUAUUACAUACAAACCGUACUUAAUGUAAUCUCCCCGUAAUCCCAAACCGUACGUAACGCAAUCUUCCCAUAAUCCCAAACGAAGUUUAAGUUAGGGACACAAAAAUUAUUUUGAUUUUUACUCUUUUUAAAUAUAUUAUUUUAUCAUCACCAAAAUUUUUUUAAUUAAUAUAGAUAUUUAAUUCAUAUUUAAGUCAAAUUAAUUUAACGGGUGAUAACUGUAUAGAUAUUUUGGAACGGCGAGAAAUAUACAAGAGUUAAAAGAAAAGAAAAAAAAAUAUAUACGGGAUAUUUUCAAAGUUUCGAAGGUAUAUAGGCAAUUAUUGCUAUUAAAAAAUAGGUAUUUGUUAAGGGCACAAUUAAAACAUUGUGGAGGUCCGCGCUUGAGUUUUCUUCCCGAUUUAGGGCUUCAGAAUCUCGGUCGCCUCUCUCUCUCUCUUUCUCUCACGCCUACUCCUCGUCUCGAGCUUCUUCAUCGCUGGCUGCGCCUGUUUCUGGAUCUCUCAGAUAAGAAGCUGCAGUCCAGACAAGCAUCGGAAGGAAGAGAAGUUGCGGGGGAAUGGAGAAAGGCCGCGCCGUCGGGAGCCCGGCGGGCGAUAGAGAAUGCCCGGCAGCGGCCGAAAAGAAUCCGAAGAAGCAGAAGCCCCCCUUCAGGCCCGCGCCGGACGACACCAAACCACUCUUCCGCGACCCCGUUCGUCUAUUCCUGUCUCGCUAUUCCUACCUACCCUUUUCCUUUUCUUUCUCUUCCUUAAUCUAAUUAUGGCUCCCUUUUUCUUUUUUCUUUCUUUAUUCUUUAGAUAUUGAGGUCGGACCCAAUCGAGACCGAGCAAGCAGUGCUCGCGCUUACCUCGCUCCCCAAGAACGCAGCGAUAUCUGAUGAAAACCGCAAAUGGUAGGUUCUUUUUUUUUUUCUUUUUUUUUUUUUUUUUGCUUUUCAGCUGUAUCUUAUUAGUUUUCUUUCUUGUGCUGCGAUGGAUCUUGGAAGCUAUUUAACGCAUAAAAAAUUAUGAGGCAACCCUCAUGGAUCUCGCUUGUCUCAUUUUAGUGAUAUAUUGCUUUAAAAUAUAUUUUUUAGUAUCCUGAUGAAUUUUUAUUUUUAUUAUUUUUUUUUGUGGCGAACUACAUUUACUCUCGUUAAAUCAAUAUAUAUAUUUAUUAUAAUUAUAUAAUAUAUAUAUAUAAUAUAUAUUAUAUAUAUAUAUAUAACACUUUAAUAUCCUAUUUAAUUUAUCGGAUAUUUAUUUUAGUAUUUUAUGGUUUAUCGAAUUUUUGACUUUACUAAUUUUGUUACUGAUAUAAAAAAAUUAACGAGGAGGGAUAAAUUAACUGAGGGAUAACGGAAGAUAAAAAAAAUCCGGGUACUCUGCUUGCGUUCUCAUCUGAACUAGCCUCCCGUUUGUCCCCUCCGCUUGUACCCCCCUACCAAACAGGCGAACCGAUGUUUAAAUCAAAAAAAAAAAAAAAAAAGAAAAACAGAAAAUCUUGAGUAGGGAUAGUAAAUAUGAUAAUAUUUUAAAUCACAUGUUACUGGCGCAAAAUUACAGCAGUGAUAUUUGAAGUUUUUUCAAAAUUAUAAGUAUUUUAAGUCCCUGUGCUUUUAAAAACAUGGUUAUCAUUGUUUGUUCGAAGGCAAGUUAAUAGUUUAGAAACUGAGGCUUUUCACUUUACAUCAUAAUUGACUUAGUCCUGAAUGGCAGCCGUAUUUUGAGAAAGUUAAGUUAAGAAAUUUGAGUUAGUGGUGAAUCAAACAAUGAAAAAUGGGCAUAUGCAGCCAUAAUUUACUGCAACUUUUGCCUUCUUUUGUGUUUCUACUUAUGAGGUGUUUAUUUGGUAAGAAAACUUUGUUAUCCAUCUUUAUGGCUGGACUUGGUUUAUUUUAAUUUUAGAGUUUGUUCGUCCUUCAUUUAUUUGUUUGAGAAAUGCUAAUUCUUGAACCCAGAAAGGGUCAUACAAGGAUUAUUAUAAUCCUACUCCCAUGGAUUUAAAAGAUUUUCUUUUUCUAUUUUGAAUUUUAGUGAUAAAAACAAAAGAGAUCAUAAAGGCUAGUAGAGAAAAAAAGAAUCAUUAGUAGAUGAUAGAGUUGCGAGUAUUGCUCUAUAUUCUUUUUGUUUUUUUUCAUCUAUGUUGGUUCCAAUAAUGGUAUCGUAUUAAGCGGAUUAAUGAUGUUUUGAAUCUGACAAUGUUGUUCGGAACACCGUCAGCAAGAUCUCCAGGUUCUACAACACCGAGGAGUUAAACAUUUUUCGGCUCUUUUGCAGUAUUAUGGUUCAAUUAGUCUUGGUAUAGAAUGAAACACUAAAUAAUUCUAUCUUGGAUUAAGGCAAAAUUAACUACGGGAAAAAGGAAGUUAAAAAAAUUAGUGAAAAACUCACUUACAAUGAAGUUGCACUACAGUAUCAAACCUGGCCUUGCAGUGUAGUUGCACUACUACAACUACACAGCAAAUCAAACACAAAUUGUAGGCUUACUUGGAGUUGCAGUUGUAAUGCAACUCGCAAAGCAAGCAAUCAAAGAGGCCUAUCCACUUUAGGGCCCUGCCAAGAUCAAAGUAAUCUAACUGUAGGAUCAGACUUGCAGGUGAUAUUUGUACUCUGCUGCAGGAAAAUUGUAUGUGAGGUUUGGCUGGAUCGAAAUCAUGCCAAGAUCGAUAUACAUAAACCCAGCCAAAAAUUCUAUGGGGAUGUAUUUUCAAUGUGUGCAGUAGUUGCGUAAAACAUAGAAGCAGUUACUUGUUUGCUUAGAUAACCAUGUCAAAUGUACCUUUUUGGACGUAUUGUAGGGCGUAGUACAAUAGAAUCUCAACAUCUCAUUUUAACUUUCUGCUGCAUUAGAAUUUAAGGCUUUUCUGAAAAAUAGAAUCAGAAGUGAAACUACAAAGGCUCUAUGUAAUGUUAACUUUCUUCUGCAGCAUUAGAAGUUUAAAACUUAUCGAAAAACAGAAAUCAGGAAUGAAGCUACAAAGGAUCUAUGUAAUUUUUCCUGAUGUCAAAUUGCAAACAUGCUUAUUGAUCACCUUUACUUUCUUUGAAAUUGGGAAGUAUGAAAUGUAUAGUAAUUUUUGUCUUUAUAAUGGUGUGAUACAUGUAGAAGGCUUAGAAGAGCUGUGUUGGAACCCAGGAAUGUGCAGAGGCCAUGAUUUCUUAUUUCCAUCCAUCUGCAUGCAAUCAGAAGAUUUUUGAACACUAUUUUGACUUUCACAGCUUUGAAAGUAUACUGUUGUUGACAUUGCAUAUUUUUCAGACAAUGUUACAUAAUAUUUUGGAUAUGUACUAUGGAAAAAAUUUGAUGGAAAUUAUAUGUUUAAAGACCAAGCUUUUCUUCCUCCCACAUUUGAACAUUAAUAAAUGCAUCAAAUUUUUGGAUAACACUGAAGUUUUGACACAAAAGUCUUUUAAUUUUUCUUACUAUUUUUUGUUUUUUGUUUUUUUUAUUCUGAAGUUUCAAAUAGGAUACUUAUCCCAAGAACCUUCUCUGGAGCUAGUACUAGGUAUAACCUUAGUUAAUUCGCGAUUAAAACGCGAAUGAUACGCGAAUUUUAAAAAUUACUUAUUAAACACCCCGUUCCGUAUUUUUUCGAAAAGUUCGGAAAAAAAGGCCAAAUCUUUCUCAAAAAAACUUGUUUGCGAAUUAUUUGCAAUUCGCGAAUGAUUCGACUAAAAAAAGGGCACUCGCGGUCGAAGCUCGCUGCUCGUGUCGUCGCCGUGCUCGUCGUCGCGGAUUCGCGGCCGAGGGUCGCGUCGUCGUCGCUCUUGUCGCCGAACUCGUCCGGGUUGUCCUCCUCAUUCGCUGCCCUUGCCGGCAUCGGGAGCAAGAGCCGCCGCGACGACAGAUGCCCUCUCGCGCCGUCCGUGGAAAAAAAAAGAAGAGAAACAGUAAAAAAAAUCGGGGCUUUUGAGCAUACUUGUGCGCGGUCCACGAGGCCACUUUGUGGCCUCGUGGACCGCAUGAGAGGGAUGUCCACGGUGGACCUUCCUCUCAUUAAUAUAUUAUAUAAUUAUAGUAGUAUAUAUAUAUAGAAUUAGGCGGAAUACUAUUAAUAAUAAAACGUUCUUUUGCUAUCAAGAGUUUUUAACCCUUGGAUGAAAAAAUUGUAGGGUUAGGAUGAUAUUAGUUGGUUAGAGUUGAGUGGUCCUCCUAGGGUUGAGUGGUCUCACAUGGGUUAUAGUAUUUAAUCCAAUGGUUAGAAAUAAUAAAAAGAGUUGAUCCAAAGGCUAAAAAACUAGUAGCAACAAUAAGAUUUUGCUACUAAUAGUAGCCCAAUCAACUCUAUAUAUAUUAUAUAUAUAUAAUAUUAUAUAUAUAUAUAUAUAAUAUAUUAUAUAUAUAUAUAUAAAUUUUAUUUAUAAAUAUAUAUCAUUUAUUUUAUUAUAUAAGUUUUUUAUUAUAAAAUUUAUAAUUAUUUAUUAAUAUUCUAAAUACAUAAUCUUAUAUAUUAUAAUAUAUAUUAUAUUAUAUUAAUUUGAAUAUAUUUAAUUUAUAUAAAAAAGCAUAAAAAGUAUAUAUGUAUAUAUUAAUUAUUAUAUAUUUAUUAUAUAGCCGAAUUUUGAUUCCGAAUUUUUAAUUGUAAACGUAUAAUAUCCGUAUAAAUUACGUAUCCGAAUAAUUACCACAUCCUUUUUAGCCGUAUUUUCAAAAGAAUUUAAAAGUUAAAAAGAGAAUUUUAUCCGAAUUAUAUCCGUACCGAAUUUUGCCGAUCCGAAUUAACUAACUAGGUAUAACCAGGAAGCUGACCUCUAUUGAAAGCCCUUUCUUUGAAAAUUAACUUCCCAACUACUCUAGAAAGUGAGUGGCUGCUAGAUGAUGCAGAAGUCCACUAUGUGUAGGAAUGUGGAAUUACAGAAAUGGAUAGACUCAACAGCAGUGCAGCCUAGAAUAUAUGAAAUCUUGAUGAGAACAAACUCUUUAAUCUUGACAUUAAUAUAUAAUCUUGAUACUAAUACUGAUAACUUUUCGGUAAAUAAAAAGGAGUGAGGCUACUAUGCUAUUCGAGAGUACGAGCCUUUCGUGCUUUCAGACGUUUUCGAUGUUGCGACUUCAAUCGUCGAUCGGCUUCGUAUACUUGAUCUAGAGUAUUGUUAGUACUUAGAAAUAAUUUAUUAUUUUUCAAUAUCAUUUGCCUAGUGAUCGAAUGGGCUCAAAAUCAACAAAUUUCAUUGGCCGUAGUGAGCCGUUUGCAAGUUUAACGAUGUAUAAAUAUCCAAAUCACGUGAAAUUUUGAUAGAAAAUUCUUUAUACUAUAUAAAACAAGAUCAAUAUUUUUGAUUUAAAAUUUUAAUGUCAUAUUAUUACAUUUUGUAAGAUUUUUAUUUUCAGCCGUUGAUUUUGAGCCCCUUCGUUCACUAGGCAAAUGAUAUCGUAAAAUCAUAAAAUUUAUUUUUCUAGGUACUUCAAAUACUCUAGAUCAAGUUUAACGGAGCCGAUCCACGAUUCGAAAAUCGCAACAUCGAAAACGAGCUGGAAGCACGGAAGGCUCCGUGCUUUCGAUAGCAUAGUAGCCUCACUUAUAAAAAGGAUAUGCUCAAUAAAAAUGUUUGCGUAGAAAAACAUGCUCUUUUUAAUGAUUAGAAACAAUACUUUUCAGUAUCUUACUUUUUAUGGCAAUUAUUUGUCACGUAAUGCUUGUCACGUAUAAAUUGUCCUCACCAAGUACAAAAAAGAUGUUGAUUGUUCCAUGUUUAGAUCAUGACACUAUGACCUCUUCUAGCUCCUUCGAUCCAAUGGGCUCUCCGUUUCCUUAAGUGGAUUCACAACAAAAUAUAUAUAAUUAAGAAGGUCCAUUCCCCACACUUAUUAAUGUUCUUGUGUAUUGAAUACACAAGUGGACAACCAUACCAUAGUUGUUCUUGCUAGGAGAGGAAUAAAUAAAGCACAGUGGGAGACAAAUUUACCUUCAUUUUUAUUAAGUGCGAGUGAAUGAUAGGGCGAUGAUUGACACUUGUUUCUUAUUUCGAACCAGUUUAUUUAGAAAAUUACUAUUUAUACAUUUACAAGUGAGAUACGUAUCUCUCACUCACUCUAUCUAAGUUUUUUUGUUUCUUGUUGGGUUUUAGUAUUGAAAAAUAGGAGUGUGAUAAGAUUUAACCGACGUUUGUUUUAAGUUACCAAACUUCUUUUUUUUUUUUUUGAUUAAAUCACUAGUUAAUUUUUAUUUCAAUCUGACCAUUUUAUUUAAUUUUUUAUAAUAUUUUAAACAAAAUGAUAAAGCAAUAGGUGAGUUAACUAUCACAUUGAAUUCUAGAGAAGACAUUAUAGUUAAUUUUGUUGUCAUGUAUUAUUGGUAUAAUGUAUAAUUAUAUUAUUUGGUAUAUGGGCUUGAUUUGGGAUGAAAAUUUUCCUUGUAUACUUCAAUUCCUGGUAUUGCUGGAUUCUUAUUCCGGAAUUACUUUGUAUAGCUUUAGGAUCUCUUUUUUAUAUUAAGAGAGCAAUAUGAUGAAUAAUAUAUAUAAAAUAUAUUAUUUUUAAAUAAACUUCUAUCAUGUCAUAGGAGCUCUAACUAGUAAUAUUUUGGACUGGUAGUUUGGACCAACGACUUCAAAAAUUAAUGAAAGUUCAAAUAUCAGCCCAAUUAAAUUACAAGUUAAAUUUCAGUGUCUUGAUCGAAAGAAAUUAAAAUUUGAUUAUCCAAAUAUAAUUUUGUUAUAUUUAACAAUUUUAUUUAUUUAGCUGGGGUGGUCAAUAUGUAUAUAUUUUUAUCAAUAAAUGUUUUUGUUGAGAAUUAGUAUCAAUUUCAGUUGAUGGAUUACUAUUAUUAUUCAUUUGAUUGGCCCAUCUCUGGCUCGACCAAUUCCAAAUUCGCCCCGCUUUCGUAAUGGGAUAAAAUAUUUAUUAUAUGAUCUAAUCUGCCUAAAACAUUCAUCUCCCAAUUGCAUCUCAAAUCCUCCAAGUCGAUAAUUAUUUUAUUCUUUUUUAAAUUAAAUUCAAUAUAAUUGAGUCCUUAUUAUUAUAAUUAAAAUGGAACUAAAAAAAAAUAAAUGCACUUGCAUAAUAUUCCAUGAAUAGGUAAAUAUUAUAAUAUUAUUUAGAUACUUAUUUGGAACAGAUAAAGGGUGGACUCGGGAUGGGUCAAAUUUUCUACCGUCUCAAUCAAGUAAUGUAAAAUAGAUUUUUUCAAAUAUUCAACCGUGCGAUGAACGGCUAAUGUAAUAAUAUAAAGUAACAAAAGUUAUUAUGUGAUGAUAAAAAGAAAACAUUUUAACUAAUAUUAUAAUUAUUUUAACAAAUAAAUAAAUAUACUAUCAAUCUUAAUUAUAAUACAUACUGAAGUAUAAAAGCUAGAGAAAUAAAAUUAUGGACCACAUCAUUAAGUAUUAAGAAUAAGAGUUGCUAUCCUACUUAAAAAAUAUAUACACAUACUCGAUAUUACUAUAAGUUUUAUACUUUUAGAUAUAAUAUGAUAAUACGGUAUAUAUCAUAGGUAUAUAUAUACUAUAGGUAGGUAUAUAUAUAAAUUAAAAGGACCAUUGUACUACAAAUGCUACUUCUAAAAUAAAUCAUUUUAUAUCAUAUAUGUGCCUACUUGUUUUUUAUUUUUAUUUAAUCAGAAAUAUAAUUUUUAAAUUUAUAUUUAUAUUAGCAACAAAAUUUCAAGAACGUAAAAUAUCUUUAUUUAAGAUGUAUAUAUGAGUGUCAUAUUAUAAAGUUAUCAGAUUGAUAAAUACAAUAUACUUUUGCUUUGGAUAAAACUGUCAAUCUAGUUAUUACUUUAUAAUAAUAAGCAGUUAAAUGAACAAAAACAUAAAAACAUUCAAAAGACAUAUUUAUAAUUAUGAGCACCUACUUGUCAACCUUAAGUAGAAUCAUUAUUUUUUUUGUUUCUUUACCGUCCUUUCAGCUUUUUUCCAUUCUACUAAUUUCAAAAAGCUUCUCAAUGACAUCUGAUAAAUUAGAAAAAUAAAAUAUAAGAAUCAAUAUAAUAGAUACACAUAUUAAAAAUUAAAUUUUAAAAAUUAAUUAUUUGAUACAUAUAACAACUCUUACCUACUAAAUAUUUAUCAUCAGCGACUUUAGCAAAUAUUUCAUCAAAAGGAGUAAAUAUAAAUCCAUAUUUUGAUAUUGUCAAAACAUCUUCCACCUCACGUACAACUGUAGAAUAUUAAAAAUUAAUUUUAUAAGGAUGUUUAGUGGUCCUGUAGGAGCCACUGCUUUGCCCCACUCCAAAUUGGUUGAUCACAUAAACUUUUCCUUCCGUUAAAAAGCCUUUAAGUUUGUUCAAGAAAGCUCUUCUUACCGUUGUAUGCAUCGCAUCUCCCUAAAAUAGAAAAUAAACCAAUUAUAUAGUAUCUUUUACUAAAAACAAAACAAAUAAUAUUUCAGCAAAUAAAAGUUGUAUGGUCCUAAAAGUUAUAAGCACUCUCAAGUCAUCAUCUCCCAUUUGAUGUGCAUCAUAUAACACAAAAUAUAAAUAUGCCUUCAAUAUAAAUAUUGGUUUUCACCAAAUAUCACAACACAACAAGUUUACAUGCAUGCAGGGACUCAUGUUACAUGUAAAUUUUUCCCAAAAUAUUUGGAUCAUAUAUUUUGUUAGUGAAAAACUAAAUAAAAAUGAAAAACUAAGUAGCGAUAGUAGGAACUCAUGUUACAUGAAAACACAUGUUCAAUUUGAAAAUGACAGUUGUUCCUUACAUUUUGAUAAAAAAGAACCAACUCUAAGCUAUUCAUUACCUCUGGACGAUGAAAUUCAGGCACAAUAUACAAACAAAUCACUCUAACUUUGAUCUUCCAUUUGUUUCCAAGAGGUGUGAUGUCACUUAUAGAAUUAAACCCAGGUGCCAUAUUCUGAGAACAAUAAGACAUCCAGAAAAAAAAGUUAGUACUUAUUUCGUAUUUAAGUAAUAAAAUAAAAACAAUAUGUUCUAUUUUAAAGCAUCAAUAUCUAAGAAUUAAGAAAAACUACUCAAUAGAUACUUAACUAAAAUGUGCUGAAUAUUGUUAAAAUAUGGGACCUUUAGUAUAUAUAUAUACACACACACACAUAUUAAUCUGUGAAUAUUAGACUUUAACAUUAAAAUAAUUAGUCAAAAUAGUUUUAUUUCUCCAAACCUAACUGGAUCUGAAUAUAGAAAAUGUUUGAAAAAUGGUAACCUUUAGUAUACAAUAAAUUGAACAAAAUAAAAUGACAUGAAUGGUAACCUUUGAAAAAUGGGCAAAACAUUUAAUAGUAUUUUCUAAUAAAAUUCGGUGACUUCCACAUAUCAUUUCAUUUAUAGAAAUAAUUAGCUUUACUUGAAAAGUGAAUAAAAUUUGCAACCAUAAAACAACAGAUAUAAUUAUUGCAACAAAUCAGUUUCUAAGGCUCUAUUUAUGAUAGCAAAUUAAAAAUAUGAUAGUAUAUGAAUAUAAAGAGUUUGAUGUUAUAUUGAAAAUGAUAAGACUUUUAAAUAUUGAUAAUUUACCUUACAUAGCACCAAUUCUAUUUUUCCAAAUCUAACUGGAUCUGAAUAUAUAGAAUGUUUAAAUUGAAUAGAAUAAAAUGACAUGAAUGGUAACCUUUGAAAAAUGGGCAAAACAUUUAAUAGUGUUUCCUAAUAAAAUUAUGUGGUUCUCACGUAUCAUUUCAUUUCAUUUAUAGUAAUAACUAGCUUUUCACCCGUGCGAUGCACGGCUAAUAUAAUAAUAUAAAAUAAUAAAAGUUAUUACGUGAUGAUAAAAAAAAUAUUCUAAUUAAUAUUAUAUUUUUCUAACAAAUAAAAAAAUAUAUUAUCAAUCUUAAUUAUAGUACAUAUUAAAGUACAUAAGCUAGAGAAAAAAAAUUUUGGACCAAAAUAAAUACUCAAGUAAAAUGCAAAAUUCAACCCUGCUCUAUUAUCUAUGAAUUGGUGUGCAAAAUAAUUUACAUUUACAUAUUGGUGUGCAAAACAAAAUGAUAACUAAAAUUGAUAUGAAAAAUUACAAAUGACAUUAAUAUUUAAGUAUAUAAUGAGAUUAACUAAACUUUCAUAUUUGACACAAAUUAGAGUAAGCACACGUAUAUUAUUUCCCUACUGUCACUUUCAAAAAUAUAUAGAUGUUGGUGUUCAUAAUUAUAGGUGACUUUUAAAUAAAAUUUCCUUCAUUAUAGGUGAUUUUUAAUAAUAUAGUAAAAGAUAUUAUUUCCUUACAAAAUUUAAUUUUAUUUUGGAUAAUUAUAAGUGACUUUGAAAUGAAAUUCCUUUAAUUAUAGGUGGCCAAUUCUUUCUGAACGUAAUAUCCGUGAAUAUUAUUUUCAUAAAAAAAUCUAAUUUUAUUUUUCCUAAAGUAGUAAUAUCCGCACCCGCCAAUUCUUUCGUAACGUAAUAUCCGUGAAAUUCUCAAAUAUCUCAACAUAAUUAUAGGUGACUUUGAAAUAAAAUCUCCUUCAUUUUCAUAAAAAAAAUUUAAUUUUAUUUUUCCUAAAGUAUUAUUUCUUUGAAAAGUCUAAUUUUAUUUUUUCUAAAGUAGAAAAUCUAUAUUUGAACUUGACACGUAGAUUAUUUUUCCUAGAGUAGUAAUAUCCGCACCCGCCAAUUCUUUCGCAACAUAAUAUCAGUGAAUUUAUCAAAUAUCUCAACAUAAUUAUAGGUGACUUUUAAUAAUAUAGUAAAAGAUAUUAUUUUCUGAAAAAAUUUAAUUUUAUUUUUCCUACCUAAAGUAGUAAUAUCCGCACCCGCCCAUUCUUUCUCAUUGUAAUUUUAUUUUUCCUAAAGUAGUAAUAUCCGCACCCGCCAAUUCUUUUUCAACAUAAUAUCCGUGAAUAUUAUUUCCUUAAAAAAUUCUAAUUUUAUUUUUUCUAAAGUAGUAAUAUCCGCACAACAUAAUUAUAGGUAACUUUGAAAUAUUCUCUAAAGUAGAUAGGUGGCAAGCAUAUAGAGCGCCACGUGUCAGCUUCUCACAUAGAGUUUAUUAAGGAUUCUACUUUAGUAUAUAGUAAUAGAUAGAUUAGCUCUACUUGAAAAAAUAUAAUUAUUGCAACAAAUUAGUUUCCAAGUCUCUAUUUAUGAUAGCAAAUUAAAAAUCUGAUAAUAUAGAAAUGAAAAGAGUUUGAUAUUAUAUUGAAAAUGAUGAGAUUUUUAAAUGUUGAUAAUUUAUCUUGCGUAGCACCAAUUCUAUUUUUAAUUAUCUAUUUGCUAUAUAUGAGUUUGACACAUGUCAAGCAGUUAAGAAAACGCAUGUUAAUUUUUUACCAAGGGUUCUACUUUAGUAUAUAGUAAAUAGAUAUUUCGUUUGUGUUAGGACGAGGCUAUUUCAUAGACUCAGAGUAUGACUUGAAUUAAAUAAAACAGAGAGCCAUGCAAGACUCAAACGUAAGAUUUCCUGCUUUGUUGUAAUGUUAAAUGAUAUGAUUAUGUGAAACCAACUAUUCUCCACUUCUCAUGCCUAUCAAAAAUUAAUUCUCAAGCUUAGAAGUGGAAUAAUUAAACGAACGGUAUCUUAAUAUUUUAUUAUCAAUACUUUUCUUUGUGUCUAGGCUCAAGAAUUUUGAUAGGUUGAUUGUGUGAAAUAAUUAAAUAUGAUAAAAUUAAAUCUUAGAUAGAGAUGAUAUCAGUGAGAAUGAAUAAUACACUUCUUGAAUACUAGUGUAGUGGUCUGCGCGUUAUAACAGGUAGAUACUGAGGAAGUGAGAAUUCAAAAUAUAUAAUAUCGUACAAUAUUAUAAAAAAUAGAAGGGAUCAGAGACAUAUCCUUUUUAAAUUUAUUUAGUUGAUAUAAUAGAGUAACAUGAAUUUUAUAGUGAGUAGAUACUAUUGUAAAACUAAAAUACGUAAUCUAUUAAGUAAACAGAAAAUGAAAUAUAAGAAAAAAAAUAAUAUUUUUACUUGAUGUGUAAAUUCGGUUAAUAUUCAAACCACGGGUAGCUUUUAGGUUAGAAGAAACUGCGUUGCCUUCAUCGUUUGCAUUUGAAAUUGGACUCAGAUCGUCAGCAUAUUGGAACGUAGUCACGUAAAAUCACGGUAAAUAAUUUAAAUCGAUUAAUUAAUUAACUCAUUGAAACAAUUUCCUAAUCACCUGGAGUGCAGACUAAAUGCUGAGCCAACAUCCGCUAUAGAUAGGCCUAGCAAAUGGGCGUUUUGGAUAACCCGCGAGCGGUUAUUGUACCCGCGGGUUAUUUGGGCAUGGGUAAAAUUUAUCCGCAAAUUUUUGAAUAGCCAACAUCAUUAUUCAUACCCGCUCACGGGUGGGUGGGUGGGUGGGUAUGCGGGCUACCCGCAAUUUAUUUUUUUUUUUCUCAUAUAUUUUUUAAAUUCAAAAUACAUAUAGAUAAGUUUUAAAAAUAUAACAUAACUCAUUAUUUAAAAUAUCAUAACAUACAAUAAAAAUAUUUAUAGUCUUAGAGCUUAAAAAUUUCGUAAUAUAAAAAACAUAAUAAGAAAUUAGAGUUAGAAUUUUUAAAACUUAUCUAUAAAAAUUUAUAUUUUAAAUUCAAAAUACAUAUAGAUAAGUUUUAAAAAUAUAACAUAACUCAUUAUUUAAAAUAUCAUAACAUACAAUAAAAAUAUUUAUAGUCUUAGAGCUUAAAAAUUUCGUAAUAUAAAAAACAUAAUAAGAAAUUAGAGUUAGAAUUUUUAGAAUGGAUAAAUAAAAAUAUAUUUUUUAAUUAAGAAAAUAUAUUUUGUAAUUAAAAAUUAUAUGUGCGGGUAUCCGUUGGUACCCGCGGGUUAUCCAAAAUGCCCACAGCUUAAUGAGUACCCAUCCGUUUUGCCCGUAAUUUUUUGGAUUGGAAAAGUUGGUAUCCAUACCCGCAAAUUUGCGGGUAACCCGCAAGCACCCGCGGGUAUGGGUCGAGAUUGCCGGAUCUAACUAUAGAUUUGGCACAAUCUAGUCACAACAAGAUAAAAGUGUGUUUUUACUUACAGCAUCUUACGCGUUAUAAUUCAAUAUAUCUAGUUGUACCUUUUUCUCCUUUUCUGCACUAUUCUAUAUUAUCCCCUCAUUUAGUGAUAUUCGAUCGAGUAUCUUUUUAUUUUCAAAAAAUCUUAUAUUUUUACAAGUUUCAAAUUUAAAUAAAUUAAAUUUUUAUAGAGGCCGGUGUGACGGCUAUGACUUAAAUUGAGAGAAUUUGGAAGGCAACAAUUGAAAAGUUCGGAAAUUUGCUUUGUGGAAAUUUCAUGAACCAGAAAUUGUGCUUAAUAGUCAUGUUGAUUGUCCAUUCACGUGAAAGGAUCGAGUCGUUUGACAGAAAUUUUUAAAAAAAUUUAUAGUAGGGUACUAAAGUGAAAUUUAAUUUUUUUUUAUACGGGACUAAAGUGAAAUAUAUAAAUAGUUUAGGGACCAAAACUUUCAGUUACAUGUAAUGCAUGGAGAAUAUCGCUAUGCCAGAAACAAUGCACAAUUUUACGUAUAUCAGCAUAUAUAUUGUUUAUUCUGCUAGAUGCAUGAAUGUCUUAUUUAGCGUGCAUGUUUUAUUUGCUCAAAAAACUUGUAAUAUUUCUUAGAUGAAAAGUUUUAUCAAAUGUCUUGAAAAAAAAUACUAUACUUGAUCUUGAAAUAACUUUUUCAAAAAUAAAAUAAAUUACUUUAUAAGUGAAUAUAUUAUUCUAUCAAAGUAUAGUUAAAUGCCAAAAAUUUGUACGCGCAUAAAAAAUUGGGUAAACUUUAAAUAUCACCUCUGUGAUUUCGUACUUUUUCACUUUAGUACCAUGUGGUUUAAAGUGUAUCAAUUUAUUAUCCUGUGGCUUUUUUUUUUUCGUCAGCUUCUCAGUUAACAUUUCGUUAAAAUAUAUACAAAAAGAUUUAGGACCCCACACGUAGAUUUAUUGAAUAUUCACUUUAAUACCUUUUAGUUUUAACUUUGUCACUGAUUUAACGAAAAAAAAAUUAGUGGAGGGAAUCAUAAAAAGAGAAAAAUGAAACAACGAGAUACUAAAUUGAUACACUUUAAACUAUAUGGUAUUAAAAUAAAAAAAUAUAAACUACAAAAAUAAUAUUUGAUGUUUUUUCUAAAAAAUAAAACUAACUUUAAAUCACAAAAGAAAAUCUUUACAAUGAACAAGUUAUCACCGAUUAUUUUAUUCUAAACAUCUAGAGAGAGAGAGAGAGAGAGAGAGAGAGAGAGAGAGAGGGGCAUCGCGGACGAUGACGCACGAGGCAGCGGGAGGGAAGGAGAGAGUGAGUGAAAUGGAGAGAGGAAAUGAUAUUUGAAGAAAGUUAAUGUGGGCCACGAAUAACCCCGUGAAUAUUUAACACUCUUUAUAAAGAUCGCAAAUUAUCUAUCGACUUCGCGAAAGCAGUAAAUUAUUAGGGUAUUUGGCCUAACUUUUAAAAAGUGCUUUUUGUGUUGAAAAGUAAUUUUCGAUUCAAUAGAGCGUUUGGUAAUUUCAUUUUUAAAAUCUGAUUCUACCUUUCAGAAUCAGAAAACUGAUUUUGAAAGCCCAGCAUUAGAAGCAGAAAAAAAUUACUUUUUGAAAUCUGAUUCUGAUUUUGGACUCAAGCAUCAAAUUUUUAUUUUUUUUUUAAAUUUAAUGUUUAAAUUUAAAUUUAAAUUUAAAUUUAAAAUUUAAUUUUUAGAUUCAUUUUUGAAUUUUUAAAUUUUAACUUUUAAAUUUUAAAAUUUUAAAAAUAGAUUUCAAAUUUUAAAUUUUAAAUUUUAAAUUUUAAUUUUAAAUUUCAAAUCUCAAAAUUUAGAUUUUAAAUUUUCAAAUUUAAAUUUAAAAAUUUAAAAAUUUUAAAUUUUAAAUUUUAAAUUACAAGUUUUAAUCUUCAAAUUAUAAAUUUCAAAAUUUUAAAAUUAAAAUUUUUAAUUUUUAAAAUUUAAAUUUUAAAUAUUCAUAUUGUAAAUUUCAUAAUUAUUAAUGUAUAUUUAUAUUUUUAAAUAUUAAAAUUUUAUAUUUUAAAUUUCAUAGUUAUUUAUAUUUGUAAAUUUAUAUUUUAAAUUUUAAAUUUUAAAUUUCAAAUUUUAAAUUUUAAAUUUUUUAAAUUAAAAUAUCGAAUUUUAAAUUUUGUAUAAUUUUGAAAUUUAAAAAUUUUAAUUUUGAUUUUAAUUUAAAUUUAGAUUUUAAAUUAUUUUAAAAUAAAAUUUAAUAAAAAUAUUAAUUUACGCAAACGUCAAAAAAAAACUUUUAUCAAACCGCUUUUCAAAAUCACUUCAGAAAAAUCACUUUUAUCUAAACUUAGCCAAACACUCUGCAGUUUUUAACUAAAAUUACUUUUCAAAAUUAAAAUCACUUUUUCAUAAAUUAAUUUUUUAAAAUCUAGGCCAAACGGAUUCUUACUGUUUCAGUUAACAACGGUAAAUAAUUCAUCGCUUACUCGUACAACAACAUUAAAGAUAGUGAAUGAACUAUUUAUUGGGUAUAUUUCGCCCUUUUGACGCCACAUUGCAAGGCAAGAUUAUUUUUAAAAAUUAUUUUUAUAAAUAAUAAUAAAGCCCGAUCACAAGGCACUAAGUUUUUUCUGGCUUAAUUACAAGUGGGUAUCUGCGUGCGUUCAACGUGUUAUCGUUGUUUAGUGUGGCGCUUCCUCGGAGAGCAACGCGGCUGGGUCCCACUGCCUGCCGAUGCCCGCCACGUGUCACUGCCCAUACGGCGGAGGACGCUCUCAGGGGACAGGGAAAAGUAACAACAAAAGUGCAUGAAUCCCCUGCUACAAGGAUCGUACAAUAUCAUACUACUAGUACAUGUGGCGUCGUGCUAUUGGUGAACGUUUCUCACACAUACGAUGUGGCCAAUAAGAAAAUGCCACGUGUCGACGAAAGGCGAUCUAGUUUCAACGGCGUGCAAUGUAGGGGAUUUAGUGCCACAGAGGAACAGGACCCCACCCGCUAGCUAAUCCUCGUACGUAUAUGGCAAAAAGAAAAGAAAAAGACUAAAAGAAAAGAUUUUCUAUUAUUAUAGUAAAAAAAAAGGAUAUUGGCUUUAGCUACUGCUGUUGUUGGGAAAAGCCCUAGAUAGCUCUUCCUGCGCCCCUUGACUAAGUUGUUUUUUUUUCUCUCUGAUCUCUCUCUAGAGGAGAAUGGAUGUAUUAUUGGUAAGUAGUCUCUCUCCACUCCCUAACCUUCUUCACCAGCUUCUUGUUGGGUUCUGAGUAUCAAUCUUCUCUUCUAAGUUCUUUUGUUUUCUUGUUCUAGCUUUUGAGAUCUUGAUUAGAUCUGAGGAUAAGUAGAGAGAGAGAGAGAGAGAGAGAGAGAGAGAGAGAGGAAUGGGGAGAGGGAAGAUUGUGAUCCGCAAGAUCGACAACUUGACGAGCAGGCAGGUGACAUUCUCAAAGCGGCGCAACGGCCUUCUGAAGAAGGCGAAGGAGCUCUCUAUCCUCUGCGAUGCCGAGGUCGGCCUCAUCGUCUUCUCCAGCACCGGCCGCCUCCAUGAAUUUGCUAGCUCAAGGUAUCAGCACCCCCUCCCCCGGCCCUCUCUCCCACAUAUUUGAGUGCAAGAUUCAUAUGCUUGUUUAGGUAUUAUCAGCAUCAGACUAUAUAGUAAUAAUUAAAAAGAUAUUAAGAAUUAUAAUCACACAUUUUGGAUAGAACAAGCUAGAAUACCGACAUUUAUAUAAUAGUUUAGGCUGAUAUAUAUUAAGGGCGGUAAAGCAUGGAGAGAGAAACCAGAGAUUGAUGCAUGUACAUAUAUAUAUCUAUCUAUAUAGGGCCCCUAUCACAAGAGAUUGAUGCAGAAGGAUGGAGAGAAAACUAAUUAAUUUUCAUAGAAUGUAACAGGUAUAUGUAGACAGCCUAACAUGUUUGCCACUUAAACCUGUUAGUAAAAACAUGCAAAUCAGUAGAAGUACCAAGUUUAAUAUUUUUAAAAGUAAAACAAAAGGAACAAUAAAUUAACAACUCUAAAUUAUUUGUGCCUUCUUAAUUAACCUUCUGAGAAAGUGUCCUUGAUAUCAGUCUAUGAAUGAUUCAAUAUUCUCUAUCAGCAAAUAUCAUUUAUAUUAUUAGAUAAUGUGGUUAGGUUAUUAGAGAGUAAAUGGUUAGUACCACUUCUUCAUAAACCUAAACUAGUAGUUAAAUUUACUUGGGUAAACUUUAAUUAGUCCCCCUUGUCUCUCCAAAAAAAGAAAAAAAAAGAGAAAAAAAAGAGAGAAAAAAGAAGAAGAAGAAAGAAAAGAGAUUAGCCCUGAUCGACUCUUUUGUCUCAUUUGUACUUUGCCACUUUACUGUCUAGAAAGUUACACUGUGCUAUCCUGUAGGUUUAUUUUUAUUUUACCAUAAGGAUAUACCGUUAAAUAAAUUUGCAAAGUUCUAUAUCUUGUAAACAACGGGAUGUUAGAAAAGUGCUAUAAUUUACAUAUACCACAAUACCAAAAAUUGUAGUAUUUUAUCAUCCUAUAUAUGAUUUGUACUAUACCAUACUACAUAACUAUUACUCUAUUUAAUGGCCGUUUCUGACGAUGUAGCGCAAACAAAACUAUAGGAUAACAAAGUAAAGCGUACUCAAACUAACAAAGUGCAAAUCAGCUAUUAGUUUAUCAAGUUUACUUCACACAUAUAUAUUAGAAUCGAAGUACUUAUAAUCUAAAAAUAAUCAUGUUGCUUGUUGCUACCAGUGAUGGUGAUAGUUUGCUUUGCAUGUUACAACCUAGAAUCUUGAUUGUUCAUCACUGCGCUCAAAAUAAUUGAACUGAUGGAAGGGCUUAUGUUAGAUGGUUUUGAGAAAGAAAUCAAUAUCCUUAAAUGUGCAUUGCAUAGGUGGAGAAAACUAGGAAUGCCAUAGAGAGAAAUUGCAACACUUGUGUGAACAAGAUUAUGAAAUAGUAGAAAACAAAUGGUUUCGGACACAAUUAAUAAGAUGUCUUAACUAACAGAAAUACGAGUUUAUAAAAUGAACACUAGUUCAUCAUGUGAAAAGGUCAAUUAGUUCAGUACAUUUUCAUUAAUGGAAAAUUAAAAGAAUUUACUCUCUUGUUAUCAGGAUGAAGUCAAUAAUUGACCGCUACAACAAUACAAAGGGAGAGCAGCAUCAGGUGUUGAGCACAAUUUCUGAAGUUAAGGUAUGUAUACAUUAAUUUGUUUCCUGUAAGACUAUUAGCAUUAUAGCUAACAGAUAAAUAAGAAGAGUAAUACAUCUAUACUUUUUAUUUUUCAAUGCGCUUUACUCAUUCUUAUUUAUCUGUUCAAAUUUAAUUUUUGUUUAGUUGUAACCUGCAAUAACAGGUCACCUUGAGAGAGAUAUCGGUCAUCACGUACCCAAAAAAAAGAUAUUUUGGUCUUUUGAUUCUAGGAUAAUUAAGUAAUUUUAUCCCCACUAUAUUAUCUAAUCUAUUCUCUCUUUGUUUACUUUUUUUUUAAUUUCUCUAUCUUUCCUUUUAUUCACAUAUAUAUGUGAAGAGAAAUAAUUGUUUCGGGUUUGGAUUUUUGAGUUUGGGUUUGGGUAUCGAAUUUUUGGUGAGUUUUGGGUUUGGAUAUGGACUUUUGAAAUCCGUAGGGUUCGGAUAUAGAUUUUGGAAUAGACAGUUGGAUUUGGUUCAGGUUUUUGAAAAAUCUGAUCCAAAUCUAACCCGUUGACAUCACUAACCAUUGGUUCCUAACCAUUACCUGUUUUUUACCAAUAAUCUUAAGCUUUUUAAUUUGGCCAAUUUGCAUAAAAAAUCCAUUAGUUUUGAGCCUAUGCAGAAGUAGGCCGUCAUUUUGGAUUUUACAGAUUCUGGUCCGAUUUUCAGAAAACUGACCAAAAUACCCUUAUUCCCUUUUCUCUCUCCUUUUUUUUUCACUUGUUCUUUUUUUUCUUUCUCUCCGAAGGCGGAGGCGGAGAAGGAGACGGCCCGCCUCGCCUUUGUCCCGCAUGCCCUCGCCCUCGCCCUCGCCCAUGCACCCUCCCUCUAGCUUCCUCGCCCCGACCCCACCGAGGCGGCGCCUCGACCCACUUUUUUUUUUUUUUUUUUUUUUUUUCUCUCUCUCUCUCCAACCCCACUCAAUUGCCUCCCCGGCUCUUUACAACAGUAAAGAGAGUAACAUCACAUCCUCUUCCUCUCCUUUUUUCUCUCUCGUUCUUUCUUUUUUCUCUCCAACCCCCUUCUACCGCCUCCACGACCUUCCAUGAUGGUAACGAGCAUAGCACCACAUCCUCUUUCUCCGCCUUCGCCGGCGUAAGUACCGACGCCGGUGCCGGAGAAGGAGGACUCGGAGCAAGUGUGGGUGAGAGCGGAGUCGAGAAAAAAUAUGUAAAAAAUAAAAAAUAAAAAGAAUAAAGAAUAAAGCAUAAAGAAAAAUAGUUUUUUCUACAAGAAAAAUAAAGAAUCAGAGAGAAAAAAAGAAGAUAAUGAAUUUGCACUAUUUUAGGAUAAUGUUGCACUAUUUCAGAAAAACGUUGCACUGUUUUUGAAAAAAAUUAUCCUCUUUGAGAGAAAAAAUAUAAUUUUUUGGAUGAAAAUUGCAUUCUUUGAACGAAAAUUGCACUAUUUGGCCGAAAAUUGCACUAUUUUGUCAGGAAAAGGAGGAAGAGAAGGAGAAGAAAUAGUAUAAUUUUUGCCCAAAUAAAGUAUUUUUCGUUCAAAGAGUGCAACUUUCAUUUAAAAAAGUAUAUAUUUUUUUCUCAAAUAGUGUAAAUUUUCUCUAAAAUAGUGCAACGUUCCUCUAAAACAAUGCAACAUUCCUCUAAAAUAGUGCAAAUUCAUCAUUUUCUUCUUUUCUCUCUGGUUCUUCAUUUUUUUUUUAUAGGUAAAAUUAUUUUUCUUUAUAUUUUAUUCUUUAUCUUUUUAUUUUUUAUUUUCUAGCUCUUACCCACACUUGCUUUGAGUCCUUCUUCUCCAGCACCGGCGUCGGUGCCUGCAUUGGCGAAGGUGGAGGAAGAGAAUGCGGUGCUAUUUUCGUUACCAUCGUAGAGGGUCGCGGAGGCGGUAGAUGGGGUGGAGGGUCACGGAGCCGGUAGAUGGGGGUUGAAGAGGAAAAAAAAGAACGAGAGAAAAAAAAAGGAGAGGAAGAGAACGUGACACUGCCUUCUUUACUAUUGUAAAAAGUCAGGAAGGCGGUAGAGGAGAGUCGGAGAGAAAAAAAAAAAAGGAAAGUCGAGGUGCAGUCUCAGCGGGGUCGGAGACGAGGAAAGCAAAGAGAGAGUGCGCAGACGAGGGCGAGGGCGAGGGGAAAGGCGAGCGGGACAGAGGCCACGCAAGUUGCCUCUGCCUCCGCCUCCGCCGCCCUCUUCGGAGAGAAAGAAAAAAAGAACGAGAGAAAAAAAAAAAGAGGAGAGUGAAAAGGGAAUCGGCGUAUUUUAGUCAGUUUUCUGAAAAUUUGGCAUGAAUCUGCAAAAUCCAAAAAGGCACCUAUUUUUGCAAAAGCUCAAAACUAAUGGAUCUUUUAUGCAAAUUGGCCUUUUAAUUUUUACACUUAAAAUUAUGUUAAAAUGUUUAUUAUCUCUAAUGGUUAAAAUGUAAUUAUUUUUAAAACGUUUAUUAUCUCUAACGGUUCAAAAUUGCUCUUAAUCUUAUUCAGUUCAAAGGGUUGAACCAAACUGCUUGAUAGACUGGGCUACGGUCUGACCGGUAAAACCACUCGGUUCAAUCUGGUUUUUAAAUCAUUGAUACUAACAUAAUAUACUAUAUAAAUUAUUGAUAGUAAUCUUGAAGAAGAGAAUUCAAAUUCUUCUUAUUCAUUCAAUAAUGAAUUAUAAAGAUAUAUAUACAUAAAUGUUUCUAUAAUAAGAUAUUAAUCAUGACUUUCCAUAACACUCUCCCUCAAGUUGGAGCAUAGAUAUUAAUCAUGCCCAACUUGUUACAAAUAUAGUCAACCCGAGCUCCAUUCAAAGCUUUUGUAAAGAUAUCCCCCAACUGGUCUCCAAUCUUGAUACCCUGUUGAAAUGAUCUUCUGUUGUAUCUUUUCACGAAUAAAGUGACAAUCAAUCUCAAUGUGUUUAGUUCGCUCAUGAAAUACAGGAUUAGAAACAAUAUGGAGAGCAACUUGAUUAUCACACCAUAAUUUAAUGGGUUGUGGAUUAUUAAGACCAACCUCAUCCAAUAAUUGUUAUAUCCAUAUUACUUCACACACAGAUUGUGCCAUAGCCCUGUAUUCUGAUUCAGCACUAGAAUGGGAGAUAACACUCUACUUCUUACUUCUCCAUGACACCACGUUACCUCCAACAAAAACACAAUAUCCUGUAGUCGAUCUCCUAUCAACCUUUGAACUCGCCCAAUCUGCAUCUGAAAAGCAUUCAAUAUUUGAAUGUCCAUGGUUCUUGUAGAAGAUACCACGCCCUGGAGCUCCCUUCAGAUAACACAAAAUUUGUUCCAAAGCUUUCCAAUGAGUAACAGUCGGAGAAGACAUAAACUGACUUAACACACUAACGGAGUAUGCAAUAUCUGGUCGAGUCAUUGUAAGAUAGUUCAAUUUGCCAACUAAUCUUCUAUACCUCUUUGGAUCUUCAAACAAUUCAUCAUCAUUAGCUGUAAGUUGGAGAUUAGGAGCCAUUGGUGCACUGCAAGGUUUAGCUCCUAAUUUUUCUGUUUCUGCUAAUAAGUCAAGCACAUAUUUUCUUUGAGAUAAGAAGAUGCCUCUUUUACAUCUUGUAACUUCAAUACCCAAAAAAUACUUCAACAUCCCCAAGUCCUUUGUUUGAAAUUGGGUUUGAAGAAAAAGCUUGAGAGAUGAGAUUCCUGUAGUAUCAUUCCCAGUGAUGACAAUAGCAUCCACAUACACUACUAAUAGAAUUAUACCAGUCUCAAAAUGUCUAUAAAACAUAGAAUGAUCACACUUACUCUUCUUCAUGCAAAACUCCUGAACUACUUCACUGAAUCUGCCAAACCAAGCUCGAGGACUUUGCUUCAAGUCAUAUAAGGAUUUCCGAAGUCUACAAACUCGACCUAACUCCUCCUGAGCAACAAAAUCAGGUGGUUGCUUCAUAUAUACCUCUUCUUGAAGAUCACCAUGGAGAAAAGCAUUUUUAAUGUCCAGCUGGUGUAAAACCCAAUGAGAGGUCGUUGCCAACGAAAUAAAUAAGCGAAUAAAAGCAAGUUUAGCCACAGGAGAAAAAGUGUCGGAAUAAUCAACCCCAUAAGUUUGAGCAUAGCCUUUGGCAACAAGGCGGGCUUUUAGGCGAGCUACAGAAGCAUCUGGAUUCAUUUUCACAGUAAAUACCCAUUUGCAACCAAUAGCUCGCUUAUCGUAGGUAUGGGUACCAGUUCCCAAGUACCAUUAGCAUCUAAAGCCAUCAUUUCCUCUUCCAUUACAGCACACCAGCUAGGAUGAGACAAAUCUUCCACAACAAAUUUAGGAACAGAAACUGACUCAAGAGAGGUAAUGAAACAACGAGAAGAGGAUGACAAACAGUCAUAAGAAACAAAUGAUGAAAUAGGGUAAGUACACAUACGUUUGCCUUUGCGAAGAGCAAUGGGAAAAUCAGAGUCAGAAGCAAGGUCGGUAAUAGUAGUGACUAGAUCUUCCGACGAAGAAGCUGGUGGAGGAUCUGAGUCAGGAGUCGCCAAUCUCCUAGAAUAGACGUGAACAAUAGGGGGUCGAACAGGUGCCGAUGGAGCAGGAAUAAGUGUUGCAGGACUGGACACUUGUCUGAUAGUGUGAACAAGGAGAGCAUCUUCCUCCCCUAACUUUCAUAAAUAGAUAAAAGAGGAAAGAAUGGAGUAGAUUCAAAAAAUGUAACAUCUGCAGACACAAUAUAUCGAUCGAGAGUUGGAAAGAAGCACCGAUACCCCUUUCGCAUAUGAGAAUACCCAAGGAAGACGCACUUAAAGGACUUUGGAUCCAAUUUAGUUACCUGUGGACGAACAUCUCGCACAAAACACGUGCUACCAAAAAGACGAGGUUCAAUAAGAAAUAAAUAUUUAGAUGGAAACAAAAUAGUAUAAGGAAUAUCACCAUCCAAGACAGACGAAGGCAUGCGAUUAAUUAGAAAACAAGCUGUGGAAACUGCAUUAGCCCAAAAGUGUUUAGGAACUUUCAUUUGAAAAAGAAGGGCACGAGCUACCUCAAGGAGAUGUCGGUUUUUCUUUCAGCAACUCCAUUUUGGGAUGGAGUGUCAACACAUGAGGAUUGAUGAAGGAUGCCAUUCUGUGUCAUAUAACUGUGAAAAUUUUCUGAAAAAUAUUCUUUGGUAUUGUCACUUCGCAAUAUACGCACAAAAACAUUAAAUUGUGUUUUGAUUUCAGUACUUAAGGUACAAAAAAUUGAGAAUAGUUCUGAACGAUUUUUCAUUAAAUAUAACGGAGUAACACGAGAAUAAUCAUCCACAAAGAUAACAAAAUACUUAAAUCCUGAUUUGGAAAUAGUAGGACACAGACCCUAAAUAUCAGAAUGAACUAACUCAAAAGGGGACGAUGCCCGUUUAUUGACUCUAGACACAGAAGGUAAACGAUGAUGCUUAGCAAACUGACAUGACUCACACUCUAGACUGGACAAAAGUAGAAACUGCGAAAACAAUUUCUUCAAGGUGGAUAACGAAGGAUGUCCCAACCGACAAUGGACCUCAAAAAGAGUUAAAUUACUGGAGCAAGCAAGAGACCUUAGCACUUGGUUGUCAAGGAUAUAGAGACCUCCAGACUCAUGUCCUCUACCAAUAAUCUGUUUCGUCGUAAGAUCCUGAAACUAACAAUGAUCAGGAAAAAAUGAGACACAACAAUUUAAAGCCUGGGUGAGUUUACUAACAGAUAGUAAAUUGAAAGAAAAUUGGGGUAAACAUAAAACAAAUGACACAGAAAUUGAUGACAUUGGGUUUGCAAUGCCAGAAUCCAUGACACAAGAGGUAGAUCCAUCAGCUAAAGCAAUAGCAGAAAAUGUUAUAUGAGACUGAAAGGCAGAUAAUAGACUAGAGUUACCUGUCAUAUGGUCCGUAGCACCAGAAUCAAUGACCCAUUUGUAGUGGGAAGACACAAGGCAUAAUGUGGAUUUACCUGACUCGGCGAGUGCAGUGACAGAGGAACUGGUGGACUUUAAGGAUGCCUGAUAUGGGGAGAACUAUGCAAAUUUUUAAGCUGACACCAAAAUAGUUUUCUCUGAGAAUGGGAUUUCUCUGAGGAUGGGGUUGUAUGCUCCCCGGUUACCAUGUUGACUAUCUGAGAUCGUUGGUUCUUAUUUUGAAGUUUCAAACAUAAGCGCUUUGUAUGAUCAGGUUCAUGACAGUAAUAGCAAACAACUCCAAAAUCUCGAUUAGAGGCAAUCUCUCCAUAACAGUGAUUACCUCUAUUGGCAGUAAUCGCUCUAUUGCCCCCUUUACUAUUAUGUCGUCCAUUAUCAUUGCGACUCACAAGCGCGCUAUUAGUAGAUUGAGAAAAUUGAGGAAUCUCCGUACGAAGUACUCGUGUGAAAGUAUCAUGCAAAGUGGAUAUCACAGAGCUAGAAAGAAUUUGAGAUUUAGCUGUCUCAAAUUCUGGGGGUAAACCAGCAAGAAAACUCAUAACCGCUAUUUACUCGCGUUGAACCUGCUACACUUUUACAUCAGGACUAAAGGGUAACAAAACAUUAAGCUCUUCAUAAACACGUUUAAAGUCCAUAAAUAAGCUGUGAGAGACCUAUCUUGCUUCUCAGAUCGGUAAAAUACUUUACAAAUAUCAUAUAUGCGAGAGAGGUUCCUUUUGCCAGAGUAUAAAAAAAUCUAAAUAAUCUAUCAAUUCUUUCACAAACUCACAAUGUCACGCCCCGGAUUACACUUUCCCCGGGCACGCCGACAAAUCCGCCGUAUACAAAGGAAUUUCCCCUGUAUACGAAGCGAUAGCUGUACCUGUAAAUCAAACACUACUACAAACAGUAGUAGAGAGCUGCUAGAGAAAACUGAAGCUAAAUAAAACAGAGUUUCAUAUACAUAGUUCGGAUCCAAAAUACAGANAUAUUGCAGCAAGAAGGCUUCUCUCUCUCUCCCUACACGAAACUAUAUAGAGGGGAGUGAGGGAGAUACAAACGAGGCAAGGUAAAAAUACUAAAAAGCCCCUCACCUACUCUGGUGUACCGGUACACGGGAUCGCGUACCGGUACAGGAGCCAACCCGAGAGCAACCCGCGCGCGGCCCAGUGCAGUGUACCGGUACACCUUGAUGGCUGUACCGGUACGGCAAGCAGAAAAACUGCUAUUUGCAGAUUUUCUUCGCUGAAAGCUGCCCUCGCGUCGCACGGAGUCCGUUUUGCGUCUAUUUGGCGCCAACGCGACUCAGACCUGUCCCGACACUCUACAGAGCUGUCGACAAGCCUCCAGAGCUGAACACCAGGGAUCUCACACACAAUGAUUAAUAAGACUAAUUACCUCACUUUGAAUGGAGUUCCUUAGUUGUAAGAACAACCGAGCAUCUUCCCUCAGCCAAGCUUGCUUUGUAUCAUCGUUCGGUGGAUCGCUAGUUAGGUGAUCAUCCUUAUCAAUGCUUCGUAGAUAAACACGAAUUGUCUUGCCCCAUUCCAGAUAGUUGGAGCCAUUAAGUUUGUGUUCUGUGAUUUUGGUCAUUACCGGGAUUACAUCGGCAAUCACAGAUUUUGGCUCACUCUUAGCAGGCACAGUUUCAGACAUGGCGCCUUGGACAACGAGACCAAGUCACAAAGCAGCUCGCAGGGCUGCACUCUACACCUCGCUGCGAGGCAAAUAAAACAACCCUAGGUAUGUCACCUAAGGAUCAAAACAAAAACCAGAUGCACGAACCUUAAGUAGCACCGAUACUGUAGCGCCGAACUGUAGCAGUACUAUAGUGAUGUACUGUAGCAUUACUAUAGUACCAUACUGUAGCACCGUACUGUAGCGAUGACUGUAGUAGUACGUAGUGGUAGAGAAAAAAAAAAAAGAACGAGCAACGCUGAUGAGAUCCGGUGAGGGACAGCACUAGAUCGCUAUACCCUAGAAUUAGGGUUUUGCUCUGAUACCAUGAAGAAGAGAAUUUAAAUUCUUCUUAUUCAUUCAAUAAUGAAUUACAAAGAUAUAUAUACAUAAAUGUUUCUAUAAUAAGAUAUUAAUCAUGACUUUCCAUAACAAAUCCAAAACUUCUAUUUAUUGUUUAAAACUCGUCGAACUUGGCUGCAGUUUUGAGAUUGAUAGUUAGGUUCGUGUUCAUAUUUUUAAAAAUCUAGCUCUUAUUUGACCUGUUGACAUCACUAAUCAUUGGUUCCAAGCUACUACUUUUUUUUUACCACUAAUCUUAACUUUUUAAAUUUUUAGGGUAAUCUUCAAAUACCCCCCCUAUGGUUUCACACUUUCUCACUUUAGUACCCCGUGGUUUAAAGUGUAUCAAGUUAGCCUCUGUGGUUUCGCACGUUCUCACUUUAGUACCAUGUGGUUUAAAGUGUAUCAAGUUAGUACCCUAUAGUUUAAAGUGUAUCAAGUUAGUAUCCUAUGGUUACAACUUUUAAAAUUAAAAGUUGUAACACUUAACUCAGUACUAUUGUAGUUUUCUUACUAUUUCAUAAAUUGUGUAGUACAACUGAGUAAUUACUAAAAUAUUCACUUAAUCCUUAAAAAUGAUGAAAAAAAUUAACUAGUAAAUAGUUAAGGAUCUCUUUCAUUAACUUAUCUAAUUUGAAAGAAAAUAUAAGUUUCUUAUGCAUUCCCAAUAUUUUUAAGAAUAUAAUGUGUAUCUCAGAAAGUUUCUUAGCUGUACCAUAUAAUUUUAUGAGAUAGUGAUAAAAUUGUAAUAGUGAUAAGUACUACAGCUAUAUAUAUAUAUAUAUAGAUAGAGAGAGAGAGAGAGAGAGAGAGAGAGUUCGGCUGGAAUACUAUCGAUAGCACCAAGGAUUUGGUGCUAUCAAGUUUUCCACCACUAGAUUUAACCCUUUGAUUAUUUUUAUCCGUUAGAUUAUACUAUUCAACCAACCACUCACUCAACCCUAUGGGGCCCACAUCAUCCUACCCACACAUUUUUUAAUCCAAGGGCUAAAAAACUAAAAGCACCAAUUGCUUGGUGCUAUUGAUAGUAUUCUAGCCUAGUUCUCUCUCUCUCUCUUUCUCUCUCUCUCUCUCUCUCUCUCUCUCUCUCUCUCUCUAUAUAUAUAUAUAUAUAUAUAUAUAUAUAUAUAUAUAUAUAUAUAAAUAAAUGGGUAGUACGCUACAUGCUUUAUUCAUUGGAAAAAUGAACUUGGCUAUAAGCGUGAGGCAACAAGGCCUCAAGGAACAAGAAAAAAAUAAAAAGAGAACGAGUGCAAAAGAUAAAAAGUAGAAAAAAAGAGCCUCUUAGCGGCCACAAAAGUCUACCCACUGUCACCAUUGGGUCAAAGCAAUGAUAUAUAAAAAUUAGGCUAAAUUACAAAAAAACCCUCAUAUCAAAAUUCGAUUUUUCACUUUCUAUUCCUGUCAUUUAAAAACCUACAUUUUGCCCCCUAAAAAUUGAAAAAUGUUCACAGGGGGGUACGGUGUUAAUAAUAUUGAUAAAAUGAUCAAAAUGCCCUCUCCCUCUUCCCCACCUCCCUCAACCCUCCUUUAUCUGUAGAAGGGUAUUUUCGGUAUAAAAAUAUAUAAUAAUGGAUAUAGACGGAACCCUAACGGAACACUGACGGCGGGGUCCAAAGUGAAUAUUUAUUAUUUUUUAGGUGGGCAAAGUGUAGGUUUUUAAAUGAUAGGGAGGGAAAGUGAAAAAUCGGAUUUUGAUAGGGAAGUUUUUUGUAAUUUAGGCUAAAAAUUAUGUUGUUUCUCUCCUACUAUAUUAUCCACGACCAUAGAUUGGUGACGUAAUACUCAAUCUCUUCGCUACGUACAAACUGGGACUUCUUCUCCACCAUUAUCGUCCAACAAAUUCUUACAUCAUCAUUAACCCUUGAUUCUUAUGCCCCCUCUAGUAGUUUCACUAAUAAAAAUCUGUUGUACACACAUUUCAUGAAUAGAUGGUCAACUUUCUCGCACUCAACAGCACAAAAGACACAACACUAAUUCCCCAACCAUCCUCUCUUAAUUAAGUUAUCCACCAUGGGUAUUCUUUUCUUAAAGGCUAUCUACAAAAAUCUUCACUUUCAGUGGUAUUCUUAGUCUUCAAAUCAUCAAAGACUGAUUGUCUCUAAAACCCUCAUCGCUAAGCAUCUUAUUUGUACAUUGAAUUCACCAGUGUCAACCUGCCCCCGCGAAAGAGUAAUUUUAUUUGCCAGCCAUCUAGUCGCCUUUCAACUUUGUUAGUAAUCUCCAUCCAAUCCUCUUUCCUUAAUGUCCUACUUGAUAGAGGCAGGACCAUGUACUUAGUUGGGAACCUUCCAACCUUGAAGGCAAAAAUGUCCACCGGCUGCCUUGCCUUAUUUUCUCUACUAUCCAUGUAGAAUAUUUUUUACUUCGCUUUGUUAAUCUUGGCCCAAGAAACCUACUCAAAGAUAGAAGGUUUUUCCUAUACUUCCUUUUAGCCUUACAGAAAAAUAUCAUAUAGUCUGUGUACUAUAUGAAUGUUACCACACUAUCUUCUAUAAGUCCAAUCGCCUUAAGUAGAUUGGAUCUAGCUGCUCUUUUUUAUUAUUAUUAUGGCUAAGCAUUUUGCCACCAACACGAAAAGGAAGGGAAAUAGUGGAUCUCUUUGUUGCUCCCCUCGUUUCGUUUUAAUCCAUCUCAUAGCCUCUCCAUCGACCAUGAUAGCUGCCUUAGUAUAUAUUAUAAAUAUACUACUCUAUCCCCCCGUAUCAUUUCUCACCAAGCCCGACCAAUCCAUGAUUUUGAAACAAAUUUCGGUUGAUUUUAUCAUAUGCCUUCUCAAAGUCUACUUUCACCACAAUCCCUUCAUCAUUUCUUUACAUCCCCACAUAACAAAUUCAGUUGUUGUAAUAAAGAGUAUGAUAAGAGCCUCCCAUUUAAAAAAGCCGAUUGGAAGGGUGACAUAAUUCCUUGCAUAACUUCCUCCAGUUUGUUGAUGAGGACCUUAAAUUUUUUUUAUAUCUUGUUAAGUAAACUAAUAGGCCUAAAGUCAUUUGCUUGCUUAACUCCUAUUUUAGGAAUAAGACAAAUAUAGGAGUAGUUAAUAGGUCUUGUGAAUAGUUUUCCCUCAUACAGCUCUUGAAAGAUGUUACAAGUACCAUCCCUAAGUCCUUUCAAUGCUAUUUGAUGAUGGCGGCCUCUCUUUCGUCUUCCUCUGCCUACUACAUUAAUUUGCCGAUCUUUUAGUAUUGUUAUCUUGUUGAAAAGCAAUCACACCUCGCAUCUCCUCGUCUCUUCCAUUUGGUUGCCUAUCUCCAACCUACUCAUGGUUCUAGUCACCCCCGUCACUAGGCUUGCCUGGUGGUGGUGACAGGGGAGCACUAUGGUUGCUAUCUUUCCCCCUUUUGUAGCUAUCUAGAUGAACCAGGACAUUAAUACACUCAUAUCUAAGAACAAUUAAUGGACAAGUUUUGAGGGAUGUCCCUGUGGUUAUUGACUACCAAAUAACAUCCAAAUGCCCUCAGAUCCAUCUUGGUUUUACUUGUUUCAUCUGCUCACAGGGACUUUUUGAUGCUGCUAAUGAGCGCCACCCACCUAGCCACCAUCGAGCAUUCAAAUGCUAAUGAGCGCCACCCCCCUAGCCACCAUCUACUCGCAGGGACAUUUUGCCUUAUUAGGAUUUCCCCAUACACCCAUGCCAGAAGAAGAAUUAUAAAGUUUUGUUGUAAUACCCUAAGUCUUUGUUUGGUUGGAGGUUAAGGGGUGGAAUAACCACUUAACCCUCAUACUAUCUCUAAACACCUUCAAAAAUGGGUAGGGUUAGCUAAUCCCAUCUCAAAUGGGCUAUUCCGGAUUAACUAACCCCACCUAACCUCACGAAAUCCGAACCAAACAUUAUUUUCUAUUCAUAAUAACCCACUAUCCUUCUUAUCCUACCUACUCUAACCAAACACUAUUUUUCACUAUCUUGGACUAACUCCAACCCCCAACCAAACACAAAAAUACUCUAACCCCAGCUUAACCCUGAACUUAACCCUAUCCCUGGAAUAACUAGUUUUUUCUUAACCCCGAACCAAACGGUAGCUAAGAGUUCUAGAUUGGAUAAGGAAAGGGGUUCUGAUUAAGAAUAUAAGAGGCCAUACAGCAUAUUAGGUUUAAGCAUUUUAGGCCAAUGGUUAUUGUUGCUAGUGAGUUGGCUUGUUACAUUUGGUAUCAGAGACAGUUCAUCGGUUGGAAGUGUAAGGUAGGCCUUACAUCGCCUGGUAAUCUUGCAUUAUAUCUGUGAUUAGGCUGAGAAAGACAUUAGGGCUUAAACAGGAAAAGUUUGUGACACUCAUCCAUAUCGAAUUGGAACAGAGCUGUGAUUAGAAAUGUAAGGCACCACGGAGUCAUGAACCAUAGUGCUAACAGUUGGGCUUAAGUAUUUUGGAUCUGUGGUUUGGGUCCAACGAGUUAUUAUUGUUAGUAAAUCAGAUUGGUAUACCCGCUCUCUAUGUUUUGCAACAAAAAAAAUCAGCCGAUAUCUGCUAAAAUGACUAGCCAGAACAUUGGCAAUCAUUUGUAGUAGAGAGUAACCUAGAUUUGUCGAUUGCACCAUAUCUGUUAACAUCGCAUUUUGCUGUAGUUCCCUCUGCUUAAUACUACUCUGUAUAGGGUACAUAUGCUCUUGCAGCUAGAAUGCGUCCUCAUACACAGUGCACCCAUGUACAUUUUGGAGUUUCUCUAUCGAAGUCUCUCCUUGCACUAUUAAGCCCUAUGCCCCAUCCUUAGGCACCGGAGACAUAGGAUGGGAUCCUUGCACAUAGCCGCUAAAUGGUCUCUCACCAAACAGUGGAAGCACCUCCCAAUGAGCGAUUGUUUUAUCUCACCCUUAUCCUAACUUGCUCAAGUUCCAUUGUAUGGAUUGGCAGGUGCUUUCAUUACCAGCCUGGAGUAAUUCAGGAUGACCUCUGAUAGGAUUGGAAUGAUCUAGGAGGACCUCUUUAUAGGACUAGAAUGAUCUAGGAGGACUUUUGCUCGAGUAAGGAGGAGUAAUGGUAGGCAUAAUAUUGAGGUGAUUCCCUCACAAACUGAUAGCUAGAAAAUCUAAUUGUGUUGUUCUUUAUUUCUUGUAAAGCAUUAUCACCCUUUUUCACCCCUUUUCUUUACAAUAAAUAGGGCGGUUCCCUGCUUCAGCUCAUUCAAAGGACUAGUACGUGCAAGUUGCUCUUCAUAUGCCACCUAACUUAUCCACCUAAGCCACUCAUUUGAUCGCCGACGACUUCAUUUUCUAGUCCUCUCGUUUUUUCUCCCCCUUUUCAAUUCUAUUGUGGUUUCCUGUGUCUUCUCCCUUACAACCAUGAUGUCCGACGACUCGUCCAAGAAACAUUUGUCUCUAAUAUUGUUUCUCUAGGUUGGGCUCAAGCUUUGAUGGUAUCUUCGGUCCAUCAGUACUGCUCCUCACCGGUGGCUCAUGGCUUCCCUUUCGACCUUGCAGCGCCACCCAGGGUCCUUCACUGCUUUUGCCUUCUCUUUCUCACCGCUGACUCGUAGCUUCCUUCUGACCAUGUAGCGUCACCAGGGUCCUUUGAUGCCUCUUCCUCCUCCUCCUCGCUGAUGGCUCAUGUUUGUGUAAGAUAACUCUAAAUUCGUAGGGGGGGAAAUAAAUUUUUUUUUAAAAUAGGGGGUGAAGUGAAAAAAUAAAAAUUUACAAGGAGGUUUUCUAUAUUUUAGCUAUCAUUAAUGUAUCGGUAGAUGACUUAUGCAUAGAAUCUACAAUACAUUAAAGAAAGAUGAGGAACGGUCGUUUGUGGUAUGCUCACAUGCAAAGGAGAAAUAGAUACACCUCUUUAGGAAAGGCAUGGCAAGUCAAGAAAAUAAUGUCGAAAAGAUCUGGAGAAAAGCUAGAAAAAAUUCAAAUAAAGGUGAAAAUAAAAGAUUUAGAGAUAGCCAAGACCGCAAGUAAGGAUUUGUAUCUAGAUUCUUUUCUUCAAGUAAUUCAUACAAUAAAAGCACAUCUUGGGCUGAAUUAUGGGUGAGCAGAGGCACUUAAAUACUUAUUCCAUUUUUCUCUUUUUAAAGAAUCCAUCCCUUAGGAUACUUGAUUUGGCGGGCCUCUAAUGGUAACUGCAAUUAUAGACAACAGACCAAGUCCAAACUAACACAAAUUAUCCAGGUUUAAGUCAAUGUUCGAGUAAAAAAAAAAUGAAAUAAAAAAAUAAUAAAAAAAAAAAGAAAAAAAAGAGGGAAAAAUGUAAAAUUUGAAAAAAUAUCCCACUUCAAAAAAAAAAGGAAGGAAAGAAAAAAAAAUUUCAUACCUUAAUCAAGGUACCAUUCCUUUUCAAAAAAAUUUGAAUAGUUUUAAAAAAGGCACUAUAGCCAUUAGAGCUUAAAUAAGGAGGCCCCUGAAAAAAAAACAAGGCGGGCGGGCAUCAAAAAAAAAGAGGGAACCAAGAAAGGCAAAAAAAAAAAGAAAGAAGAAAAAAAAAGGCUGCGAAGAAAAAAAAAGCCUUUACUACUCUCCUCCUCUCCUCCUCUCGUCUCUCAUUCUCUCCUCUUCUCGUCUCUUGUGAUAACGGGCACCAAAGGGGAGCCCUUAUUGGUCUUGCUGGCAGAGGGCGGUGCCAUGUGCACCCCUCCUCCAAUCCGACACAGACACGAAUGCGAAUCGGCGACGACUCGACACGGCACGAACAACCGACACUUUCGACAAGGCCGAAGCACAAUAAUUCACAUACAACAAGGAGAUACGCAUGCGUACCAUAGCGUAGGUGUGAUAUUUUGUUGUUUGAUAAGACCCGACCAUCCUUCUGUAUAGGUUUCGAACGCUGGCAAAUCUAAACAUCAAAUAUCAUGAGUUCCGCCAUGCGAUUAUUGUAAUCUCCAAGCCGGUGCCGCAUCUUCGGAUAGGCUCGACAGUCAAAAUAUAAUGAUCGACAACUGGAGGUUUUAAUUACAUAGCGUGCGGCAUCUUCAGUAUGGCUCUGACAUGGGUAUAUCAAAAAAAAUCGUAGGGCAUCUAGCCGAUAGGCUCAGACACGGCUCAAAAUAAUGUCGAACCGGAGUUUUAUACGUAAGCAUUGCGGCUCAUCUUCUGUGAUAGGCUCGAUAUGGGUAUAAAAAAUCGUGGCGCAUCUCAAGCGUUGGCUCGACAAGAUAAACUCCGCAAAACCGACAAAAAAAUAACAUGAAGAAUGAUGAUAAUAAUGGACGGGUUUUGAUUCGUCAUAAAUUUCGAGACGAGAUUUUGACCAAAUAAACAAAAUACAAAAAUAAUAAUAAACAACACAAAGAAAACAAAAAAGAGAACAAAAAAGAAAUAAAAAAAAGGAAGUACCCUCCCUCUCUCUUCUCUCUCGUUUACAUACACACAGAGAGACGAGAGAAUUGGUUUUCCCCUCUCUGUCUUUCUCUGCCGCAAAAAAAAAAAAAAAAAAAAAAAAAAAAAAAAAACGAAAAAAAAAGAAGAAGAAAGAAUAGAAAAAAAGGAAAGAAAGAGAACUGAAAAAAAAAGAAAAAAAAAGAAAGAGAGUUGGGUUGCAACUCUUUUCACUCCCUCUCUGUCAGUGAAAAAAAAAAAAAGAAAGAAGAACAAAAAAAGAGAAGAAAAUCAGAAAAGAAAAAAAAAUCAAAAAAGAAGAGAGGAGUUGACCUCCCUCUCCCUCUGACGAUCAAAAAAAAAAAAAGGAAAAAAAGGAAACGAAAAAAAAAAGAAAAAAAAAAUAUAGAAAAAAAAACAAAUUGAAAAAAAGAGAAGAGUUGGACUCUCUCUCUGACAGUCAACAAAAAAAAAAAAAAAAUUAUUAUUCCCUCACUCUUAGUAAAAAAAAAGAGAGCAAAAAAAAAAAGAAAAAAAAAGAAAAAAAAAAAGAAAGGAAUAAAGGAAUUAAAUCGGAGUUAUUUAAUUCAAUGGGUUAAUCCAUUACGGGCCCAAUUUCAUAAGCAAUCAAAAAUAAUACAGAGCCCAUAUGCAAAUUCGGAUUCAAGGUCCAAAGCAUGUGAAGCCCAAGACUAAUCUCAGUCUACAUACAAAUUCGGGUCCAAGGCCCAAAACAUGUGGAGCCCGAAAUCCAGCCCAUGUGCAGAUAUAAAUCAAUAAAAGUCCAGCCCAUAUACAGGUUCGGGCCCAGAACAUGUAAAGCCCGCAGCAUACUUCAACCUACAUAUAGAUUCGGGUCCAAGGCCCAAAAUAGGCAAAGUCUGAAAUCCAUUUCAGCCCACAUUCAGAUUUGAACCCAAAGCCAAUAAAAACAUAUGAAUAAAAACCCAAACCCACAAAGUCCACAAAUAAAAACCCAAAAAUCCAAAAUCCACAAAGUCCACAAAUAAAGAUCCAAAACCCAAAGUCCACAAAGUCCACGAAUAAAGAUCCAAAACCGAAAGUUCACAAAUAAAAAUCCAAAAUCCAAAGUCUACAAAUAAAACCCAACCAAAUUUAUCAAACCUAUGUCACCCAAAUACCUCCAAUCCAAACCAAAUUCAUGGGUUUCCCAAAUGGGCCCCUCAUUAUGAAUUAAUUCUAUAAAUUAGUUUUUUGGGCUUUCCAAAUGUAUUCCCUAUCACGAAUUAAUUCUAUAAAUUAGUUUCAUGGGUUCUCUUUGCCAUAAAUUAAUAUUAUGAACCAAUGGGCUCUCCAAAUGGCCCCUAUCAUGAAUUAAUUUCAUCAAAUAACUUGGUGGACUUUACAAAUGGUCCCUACCAUGAAUUAAUUUCAUCAAAUAACUUGGUGGACUUUACAAAUGGUCCAUACCAUGAAUUAAUUUCAUCAAAUAACUUGGUGGACUUUACAAAUGGGCUCCUAGCAUUAUUUAAUUUCAUGAAUCAGUUUCAUGAAUACCUCGAUUUCAAUCGACCGAAAAGUCGUUAAACUAAACCCAAAUUCAAACGACCGAAAUGUCGCUAAACUAAACCCAUAUUCAAACGACCGAAAAGUCGUUAAACUAAACCCAAACCUGAAUGACCGAAAAGUCGUUAAACUAAACCCAAAUUCUUUAAACUAUAAACCAAAUCCAUACACCAAGUUCAUGAACCAUAUCCAAGUUCAUGAACCAAAUCCAUACACCGAGCCCAUGAACUAUAUCCAAGUUCAUGAAUCAAAUCCAUACACCAAACCCAUGAACCAUAUCCAAGUUCAUAAACCAAAUCCAUACACCAAACCCAUGAUCCAUAUCCAAGUUCAUGAACCAAAUCCAUAUGCCAAAUCCAUGAACCAUAUCCAAGUUCAUGAACCAAAUCCAUACACCGAAUUCAUGAACCAUAUCCAAGUUCAUGAACCAAAUCCAUAUACCAAAUCCAUGAACCAUAUCCAAGUUCAUGAACCAAGUUCAUACACCAAAUUCAUGAACCAUAUCCAAAUUCAUGAACCAAAUCUCAUGAGCCAAUACUCAAAUCUCAUGAACCAAUACCCAAAUCUCAUCGUGAACCUUUUUUUACUCUGGCACAUAUACCUAGAGUAAAAAUUAAAUAUCGACUACCCCUAAUACAUAUACUUAGGGCUAAGUCAAUCACCUUAGCACAUAUAACUAAGGCAAAAUAUCUCCAAAUCAACAGAGUUCUAAGUUAUAUACUUAGAAUUCAGUCAAAUGAUAUUCUGACUCUAAUAUAUAUACUUAGAGUUCAUCCGACUAACCCUAACACAUAUACUUAUGGUCUAGUCAGCCUUUUGCUCUAGCAUAUAUACCUAGAAUGGAAGUCAAACCAUGCCUGACUAACCCUAACACAUAUGCUUAGGGUCUAGUCAGUCUUUUACUCUAGCACAUAUACCUAGAGUGGAAGUCAAACCGUGCUCGACUAGUCCUAACCCAUAUACUUAGGGUCUAGUUAGCCUUUUGCUCUAGCACAUUACUUAGAGUGAAAAUCCUUACACCGAAUUCGAGUUAAAUCAGUUAUACUUAGUGUUCAAAUCAUACCCUUAAAUACAUGAUCUUAGGCACUUAGUGACCUUCAUUCUAGCACAUAUAACUAGAGUGAAACGUCGUAAUCUUCGGUACAUAUACUCUCGGGGAAUUAGCCACUCUCACUUCGGGAUAAUUCGACCACCAAUACAUAGUGAUUGGAGGUGUGGUCACAUCCUCACCUUGGAACUAACCAAGGUGAUAUAAUCGGACUCUAAGACAGGAUACUUAGAGCCAAUUGACUCUCAAUAAUAGAGAUUUAAUAUCGACUAGUCUAAAAGAUACUUAGGAUCUAGUUCGGAGCCAUCAAUAAUAUUACUUGAGUCUGGUCUACUUCUCACUGGAACAUAUACCAAGGUUGGAGCAUAUCAGACUCUAAGGAAAUUAUACUUAGAGCCAAUUGAUCGAGUACAUAGAGUCUACAUAGUUGACUAGGUUUUCUAACACAUCUACUAUAGACCUCACACCCGAGUCAAUUUCAAAUCCGACUUUUUCUAAUACUAAUAUACUUAGGAUUCAAUUUAUGCUAACAGAUGGGGGUAUGCCCCUGCUUAGCCAUGUUUAACUUGGCAAUCAUAUCAAUUAAAUUUUAUUUGCUCUGUUUGUGUCUCUUUUAUUUAUCAGCAUUUUAUAUUUGUUCUCUAAUCUGAGGGUUCUCCUUAACACCGAAUAGUGUGGGUAAUAAAGCAGAUUCUUGAGCUGUUGUAUAGCAUGAACCUAUAAUCUGUAUUCAAGUUAAAAAUAAACAAUUUAUCUUACCAUGAAUUACACUCGUCUUAGUAGGUUACAACUACGGGCGGGGGAACCGGUUCGUUCGCGCUGGCUGGACAGUCAAACUCAUUGAUUAAUCAUCCAACCACCAUAUCAAACAUAACAGAGAACUAAACCACAUAUGAAUCCUUCUUAUACUGUCUCUUGUUACAUGAUCACAUUUAGUUGGCUCCAUAUAGGUUUUGGUACAGAUAAUUAAAUGUCAAUGCAAGCUCUUUUCAAAGUCCUGUGGCGCAACUAUAAAAUUUCAUAACUAAUUUCUAUCAAUUAAUUUGUUUUUUGUAGAGUAAAACAUUCAACACAUUUGUAUUAAUUUCUGAUACUAAUGAAAAUCUUGCCCUGUAAACUGAACUCUUUGUUCUUCUUUCAACAGUUCUGGCAAAGGGAGGCAGCAAGCUUGAGGCAGCAAUUACAAGACUUGCACAAGAGUAAUAGGUACCAUUUCUGUACCUUGUAUUCCUUAAAUACACGCUUUUGAUCCAAUUGAAUCAUAAUCAAAGUCAACUUUCAUAUAAAAAGGUGUCGCAAUCUGAAAAAUCUUAUAAUCUGGAGUUAAUUACAACCAUUUGAAAGGCAUAGAUGUCUAUCCAAUGUUCCCAACAGCUCUAAUAUUCAAAGGCUAUGCGAAAAAUGCCAUCACAUGUUUUGCGAUUCAAUUGCUUGGAACCAUAUAAUCCUUUCUUUGAGCCUCUAACGUAGUAGGGCAGGGGUACGUAGUUCUAUAAACCCGCCUCUACACAACUACCUCUACCAGCGCCUUUUCUUGUAGUGAAAUUCCUCUCCUAAAUCAGUUGCUGCUAAAUCUCAUCUAGUCAUACUAUUCAGGUGAAUUACUAUUGAUCUUUCCAUUCGCAUCUCUGCAUUAAAAUCGGCAACAAUAUCUCAAAUAGUGCACCAUGAUUUUAUCUGUUUUCAGGUUAUUUCCACCUUAGAGGAAGCUUCAUUUAUCAUCUUUUUGCUCCAAGCAUCAAAUCAUUUACCUAGUUCAUAUCUCUACUAUACUAAUUUAAUUAACAUGCUUUUCUCUGGCUGUCAAAAUUGGUAUUUUAUGUAGUUUUCAAUUUUAGUUGCAAUUCUGAACAAAAUCUAUGAUCUCGUUAAUUCGAUAUUACUUCUAAUUUUCAUUAUUGCAUAUUCUAUGCGAUUCUAUGAGUAUGCAGACAUAUAUACUUCCCUAUCUCGUUAUUGUUGGUUAGCUAGCAAUUUCCUCGCGCACUCAUGAACCAGCGAACCCGAAAUUUUUUCCCUGCUAAUGGAUACAACAUGACAACAGAAAUUUCUCUCCUAAUCAUGAGAGUUCUACCGACCGUCCCUAGAGUAAGCGGCAAAAGGCUUGGUGGUCGGUACCCGAGGUCCCAAGUUCGAAUCCUAGUUGAUUCACAUUUUCAGCUGGGUUUAUUUCUAAAUGAAAUAAACGAAACGGAUAGUGUGCUAUCUAUCUCUCAAAAAAAUCAUAAGAGUUCUCAUUCCAGACCUAUCUUCAUGUAUAUAUGGUGGCAUGUAAAAUUAAAAAUGAUCCAAAUUGAAAUUUGCUUUUUUAAAUUAAAUUCUUGGAUAUAAAUAAUUUAAAAUUUUAUAGAAUUUAUGUGUUCAUGAUCUUUCCCAUGAGAAAAGAUAACACGAUGAGCCAGGAAAUGGAAAGGAUUUUAUUCCCUUAGGUAAGCAAAAUAGACCCGCGCCACGGGGCUGGCUCAAAAUACUUGGAGGGGCUCCUGGUCACUGUCCCGUCGCAUUACCAUUCCUAAGUACAGUAGGCAAAUGGUUUCCUAGAUAUUGUAGAAAAAUGAUGUAAAAAUAUAUUACCAAACACAAAAAAAACACCAUAGUCCACAAAUAAAUGAGUCACUCUAUAUCCAAAAUAGUUUUUGGAAACAUUAACUUUUCAUUGCAGGCGACUGAUCGGAGAAGAGCUAUCUGACUUAAGUGUCAAAGAUCUUCAAGGUUUAGAGAAGCGAGUUGAAAUGAGUUUGUGCUCUAUCAGAAAGACGAAGGUUCUCAAAACAAUGGUCAUUCUAGUAUAAAUAUGUUUUAUUUUAUUUUUUCUAAUUCUUUUGCAUUCCUUCAUCCACAAAAUUCAUCCUUUUAUGGUUACUUUUAGGAGAAAAUUUUACGAGAUGAAAUCGCAGAGCUCAACCGAAAGGUUCGUCAACAAAUAAAUGUUCAUUCUAUCAUAUUUACGUGGAAUAUUAAUGCAUGCAAUGUAAUAUAUUCGCGGGCGUAACACAAUUUCAAUUUACAUUGCAGGGUUAUCUAGUACAUAAUGAGAACAUUGAACUCCACAAGAAGGCGAACCUCGUAUAUCAGGAAAAUAUUGAAUUAAACAACAAGGUAAUGGGGAAAUAAAAAAAAAAAAAACCCAAAUUUUCAAUGUAAUAGUUAAGUUUCCAUACCUAAGCAGAGAAGUUUAUUAAUUAGCAGGUUCAGGAGGCAAGCGGAUCAAGUGGUGGAACCACCAAAGCUUCGAUUAUUCCGUUUGUUUUUACUGUAGCAGAAGAUGAAGAAGAACUCGUUCAUCUUCAGUUAUGCCAUCCCCAACAGCAAGGAGAUAGGACAUAAUCAAGAACUCUACGGCUGGAGCGAUUUCCUAAUAGUUUGAAAAAGGUCUUCUCUAUCACAGUUAUUUCACAUAAGAUUUGCGACAUCCAGUAAUAAGCUUCCACAUUAAUACCUCAUCCAGUAAUAAGCUUCCACAUUAAUACCUCUUAUUAGAUUUUUUUUUUUUUUUUUUUAUCAUCCUACAUGGCAUAAUAAGAUUGGUUUGAGGUAUAUUAUAUGUGUUGCAAGUGUCUUAUAUUAAAGAUCUUUUUCCUAACUUGUCCCACAUUUCAAUUUCAUUUUUAUGGUUUCAAUCAUAAGAAAUUGCAUUGCAAUCGUGUAUGUAUGUACUAUCUAAAAAUGGUGCCAUGUAAGCAACUUCAUUAUAAGUUGUGCUUAUUGAAAAUAGAUUUUUUUUUUUUUUUGAGAGAGAGAGGUAGCACUCUACCCGCUUCGUUUAUUUCAUUUAGAAAUAAACUUAGCUGGAUAUGUGAAGCAAUUAGGAUUCGAAUUAACUUGAGACCUCGGGUACCAAACACCUAGCCCUUUGCCGCUUGCUCUAGGGACGGUCGGUAAAAAAAUAGGUGUGAACCUUCGGAGACUGAAUUGAUAGAAUCGAACUUUUGAAUAUAAAAAUGGAAAUAGGAGUCAAAGUAUGGGAACUAAUUAGGGGUCGUUUGGAUUGUUGAACCGAUGAUUUGAUUGUAAAUAAAGUUUAUGGAGAAAAAAUUAACAGUUUUACUAUCCAUUAUGAAGGUACCAAAAAAAUGCGGUAGAUAUUCAUGCGCUUAAAUUCUUAAAAUAAAUACCUUCUGAAAUGAUUCCAAGUCAUCUUUUUGUGAAAAAAAACGAAAUUCUAGCCAUAGACUAGGACAAUGAAUCUCCUCGGCAUUACGCUAAUUUAUGGCGAGUCCAUCAUCAUUUUUUAUUUUUAUUAAACUUGAUUAUUCAAUGGAACUACAAUUAUGUGAAUCCAAAACCCCAUAAAUUAAAAUGGUUCAGUUCAAGCUCUAACUGAAAUACGUAUCAAGCUUCAGCUUAACUACUAUAUAUCUGGACGUCACGAAUAUGAAUACAGAACACGAGACACGACACGAUUUGGACAUAGUGACUCGGCAACUUUUAAAAAAUUAGGACAUGAACACGACAUGGAUAAUGCUAAUAAUAUAACAGACACGAAUACAGAACAUGAGACAACACGAUUCGAACAUGGCGACUCGACAACUUUUAAAAAACUAGGACACGAACACGAUAUGGAUACAUGAACACGACAUGUAUACUAUAUAUAUCUAGACGUCACGGAUACGAAUACAAAACACGAGACACGAUACAAUUCGGACAUAGCGACUUGGCAACUUUUCAAAAAUUAGGACACGAGCACGAUUUGGAUACUGCUAAUAAUAUAAUAAUAUAUUUUUAUUAUAUAUAAAAUAUUAGUUUUGUUAAAAUAUUUUUAUAUUUUCAUACGAAUAAAAGUAAUUAAUAAAAUUUUCAUUGAUAAUUUAUAUAUUUUAAGUAAAAAAAUUCUCAACUAUGUAUAAUUUAUUUAUUUUGUCAAAAAAAAACUUAUAUGUAUUCAUCAAAAAACCAAAAAUAUAUCUCAUCUAACUUCAUAUAUGCAUAACCGACCGUCCCUAGCGCAAGUGGCAAAAAGGCUUAGUAGUUGGUACCCGAGACCUAAAUUUGAAUCCUAGUUGAUUUACAUUUCCAGCCAAGUUUAUUUCUAAAUGAAAUAAACGAAGCGGGUAGCAUGCUACCUAUCUCUAAAAAAAAAAAACUUCAUAUAUGCAUAAAAAAAUAAAAAUAGAAAUAUUUUUUUAAUGGGAUGCGUUAUGAACCUAUUUCUAACGCGUGUUCAUGACGUGUCUCAGUGUCUGUGUCGAACAUGUUAGGAUUUGGUUAGAUUUGUAGAUUAAUUCUAGUUGGAUAAGAAUUAAUAUUUAAAUCUGUUGGAGAUAAAUUAAUAUUUAAAUAUUAAUUAGAGUAUGAUAAAUAUUUAAAUCUAUUAGAGAUAAAUGAUAUAUAGAUUUAAAUAUUUAUUGGAGUAGGAAUCCUAAUUAGACUAGGAUUCGCGUACGUUUUACAGGAUGCAUUGUAAAAGCACCCUUUGCGAUGCUUUUGGAGUAGAGAGUAUGGCCAAGUUGAGAUUCUUGAGGAGGGUACGAUGAGGUGUCUUGAAGCCAUUAGUGGACCCUACCAAAUAGAAACUUCGUCAUGAGUUGCAUGCACCUAGUGCACAAGUGCAUGUGAGAGAGAAAAAGGAGAGUUUGUCUUCUUUGUGGGUUUAUAGAAGACAAGAAAAGGGUAAGAGAGAUUCAAAAAGAGGGCUCGGGUUGUAACUACUCUAUGCAGAAAAGGAGUCAGGUGUAAUCUUCUCUUAUUUAAUGAAUCUUAUUUUACCCGCAAAUUUUCUAUUUUGGUUUUUCUCUCUUUUGUGAUCGUAUCAGCUUUUAAUUUGCUGAGAAAACGGGUUUAUGGUAAAAUCCAAUUCGACGCUUCCGUUGCGGAAUCCCAACAAUCGGUACCGGAUCCACAACAGUCGGUAUCGGAGUGGGUUGCGAAUUCUCAAAAUCCGAUAUCGAGGCGAGUACCGGAUUCCCAACAGAACACGCACGUCACUACAACAAAAACGGUCUAUAGCGACACUUUUAAAUGUAGAUACAUGUCAAAAAAGUACCGCUAGCUAAAAUUACCGACACUUUUAAAAAGUAUUGCUAUAUGUGGGGUUGCUAGGUAUAUAGUGACAGUUAAAGAGUGUCGCUAUAACCUAAAAAAGUGCUGUUAAUUUACCAACACUUAUUUAAGCAUUUAGCAACCGCCGAAACUCUAUCUCGUUCGCUGCGGUGGCGGAGGAGGACGACAGGAAAAGCUCUUCGUCUAGAAUUUCAGUGGAUUGAGUGAAGAGAGAAGAAAAGAUGGUAAUUGAUUUUUCUUUUUUUUUUUCUUUUCUGUUUGUAAUCGGGCCAAAUGGACUGGGUGUGGUGGGUUGAGUAGAGUAAUCUUUUAUUUUUGAUUGGAUUGAGCUUUAUAUUUAGGCAUUAGUAAAUAUUUUUUUAAGUUUUAACAUAAAUGGAACACUUACUCAAAAGUGUCCCAAACAUGUGUCCCUAUAACCUAAUUCUGUUGUAGUGUGUCCGGCAUGGACAUGCACGAAUUAUAGAAAUGUCCAUUAUACACAGUUGCAUAUUUAACCACUAGUUUAAUUAAUUUUUCUUACCUUCAGUAUUGCUGCAGACAUCAAUUGCAACUAAACAAAAAGGAUUUGUCACGAGAAGUGCUUUUGCAUCACCUCAAAUGCUGAGACAUUUAGGGUAUGUUUGUUUGGAUGAAAGUGGGGUGGAAGUGAAGAGAAUGAAAGUCGUUUUCACCGUAAACGAUAACUUUCGGCCCAAAAUUCUUAAACCCGGUUAUUAUUACUAGUUCAUAUCUGAUGUGGGAUUAUUGGGGUGUGACAGACUCCUCCCGUUAAGGCCCUGACGUCCUCGUCAGUCACGUCAGUCCAGUCACACACACAGCCGAAGAUCACCAGGCGAUGUGAGACUCGUCUCACUAGCCUUGUCAUCCAGACCUUGGCAUAGCCGGUUAUCUUAUCAUAAAGACUCCGGCAUAGCCUAUCACCUUGUCUUUCAGACCCUGGCUCAACCAAGACUCGCCACACAUUUCCAGCUGGUGAUUGGCUCUGAUACCAAAUGUAACGACUCAGCCCACUAGUAACAAUAGCUCGUUGGGCCCAACCACCGGGCCAAAAUGAUUAAGCACAGUUAUUAUUACUAGUAUUUAAGUCUCUUAUAUACCCAAUCAUAUCCCCAUUCAUAUCCGAUGUGGAAUUAUUAGGGUGUGACAGUUAUGAUCGAAACUCGAGUUAACCUAAAACGGCGUAAUUGACUUCGGCCCAUCGUGAGUUGAAAUCAAUUACGAUGAAGAGAUAUGAAGAAAAAAUAAUAAAAUAAUAUAUUAGAAAAAGAUAGUUAUAUUUAAUUAAAUAUAUUUAAUUAUGAUACUAAUUACUCUUUUAUUCAGUUGACAUAUUUAAAAUAUGAUAAAAAUUGAUUAGUUAAAUUUUAAUAUGUUCUUUAUUUAAUUUGUAUAAUUAAAAUAUGAUAAAAAUUAAUUAAUUAAUUAAUAAUCUUUUUUAACUUUAUAAUUUUAUUGUCGUAUUACUAUAAUUUAUGUAUAAAAAAUAAUAUAAUUAUUUUAAAUUAAAUUUUUGUCACGCCCCGGAUGUCUCGUUCCCCGGGCACGUCGACAAAUCCGCCGUAUACAAAAAAAAUUUUCCUGUAUACGAAGCGACAGCUGUACCUGUAAGUCAAACACUACUACGAACAGUAGUAGAGAGCUGCUAGAGAAAACAGAAGUUAAACAAACUGAGUUUCAUAUACAUAGUCCAAAUCCAAAAUACAGAGUUACUCGCACUGGCGAGUUAAGUCUACUAUGUACAUAAACUCGAAACAAAACAUCUACCUGCAGUACGGGUGCCUCUAGCUCUGCUCGUCGGGUAGGGCUGUAACUCGCAACGCCCUUGCCUCGAUCCUGAUCCGCGGAAGACGCAGCAGCCGAAACCUGUGGCUCUGCAAAACAAGAGUAACAACUGGGCGUGAGAACUACUACAAAACAAGUAGUCCUCAGUGGGUACCGCCCAAAACAACAUCGGUCACCCACUAAGUCUACAGAAGGGAGCAAGGAUAGUAGGAAAAGCAGGAAGUACACUCUACCGCUAUCAAUCACUACACUAUCAUGCUCUACGCUAACCAACUGUAGCAAAUGUCAAAUGACCCAAUUCAAUUCGGGACUGUAAGCAUA
This 76680-nucleotide long non-coding RNA is filed under the name Ananas comosus (pineapple). Its description in RNAcentral is "long non-coding RNA (ACOM_LNC023569)". Lineage: Eukaryota; Viridiplantae; Streptophyta; Magnoliopsida; Poales; Bromeliaceae. The record is from RNAcentral.